Molecule: long non-coding RNA, 46071 nt
Filed under: Lynx pardinus (Iberian lynx)
Lineage: Eukaryota; Metazoa; Chordata; Mammalia; Carnivora; Felidae
Source: RNAcentral
AAGAAGAAGAAGAAGAAGAAGAAGAAGAAGAAGAAGAAGAAGAAGAAGAAAUUUAUUUAUAAGCAUUUUGGAGUAAGUGCCAAAAUUAAUUAUCCUGCUUAUAUAUUUAAAAAAAAUUUUGACGGGUGGGGGGUGCCUCACUGGCUCAGUCAGUAGAGUGUGUAACUCUUUUCUAUUUAUUUUUUUAAGUUUAUUUAUUUUUGAGAGACAGAGAGUGCAAGCAGGGGAGGCGCAGAGAGAGAGGGAGACAGAGCAUCCAAAGUGGGCUCCAAGCUGACAGCAGAGAGCCUAACCCAGGGCUGGAGCUCAUGGACUGCAAGAUCAUGACUUGAGCUAAAGUCACAGAUGCUUACCCGACUGAGUCACCCAGGUUCCCUAAGCAUGCAAUUCUUGAUCUCAGAGUUGUAAAUUUAAGCCCCAUAUUGGGUGUAAAGAUUACUUAAAAGUAUGAUGUUAAAAUAUAUAUAUAUAUAUAUAUAUAUAUAUAUAUAUACACACACACACAUAUAUUUAUUUAUCAACAUAAGUUCCAGUUUUGUUUUCUUAUAUAUGCUAUUUUUAUUUUUAGAAAGAAUUUUAUCUUCAGAAAUUGUUGAAUACAUCGUUUUAUGUCCGUGAACAUAAUAAAACCAAUUUGAUGUCACAAAUAUAUCAACAUGUUGAACAAUUUUUAUUACUUUUAAUGCACCUUUGACUUUAAAAACUGUACUAGUUUGAAAAGAUAAAUCUCUGGAGCCUAGCUUUCUGGCCCUAACAUCUUGCUCUGAUCUCACUACCUCUGAGAAGUUAAAUACUUAUUUUAACUAUUUCAAUGGCCUCAAUUUCCUCAUUUAUAAAAAUGGAGAUAAUAAGAACACAAGUGUCCUGGGGGCAUGAGAAUUAAAUGAGUAACUAAUUGAAUGACGAUCAUCAGUCAUCAUCAUCACCAUCAUUGUCUUCUAAGAUUUUUGCCUAGGUAGCCUAGUUUUAUUCCCUGUUUAGAAUUACCAAAAUUCAGCAAAGUAUCUGAUAGGUAUUGCAAAAAAAGAGAAAGAGGGGAAAAAAGGAUGCUAAAUAAGGAGUAACAAGUUGUAGAUAAAAUAUGGAAAGAAUCAUUUGGUGAUUAUUAUAACAGGUGGGGUUUUUCAAAAAUAUGAGCACUUCUUAUUUAACAAUGAAUGUAUAGGGGCGCCUGGGUGGCUAGGUCAGUUAAGCGUCCAACUUCGGCUCAGGUCAUGAUCUCACGUUCCGUGAGUUCGAGCCCCGCGACGGGCUCUGGGCUGACAGCUCAGAGCCUGGAGCCUGUUUCAGAUUCUGUGUCUCCCUCUCUCUCUCUGCCCCUCCCCUGUUCAUGCUCUACCUUUCUCUGUCACAAAAAUAAAUAAACGUUAAAAAAAAAUGAUGAAUGUGUAAAUUUAGGAGCUAUUUUUUUCCUUAUGUGUGCCAAAUGCAUGUUUUUAAAUCAAAAUAUUAUGUAACUAUAAUAGAUACAUCCAAUGCUGUAAGAUAAUUCAGAUAUUUGAAGAACUACUUUAAAGUACUAUUUCUUAAAACAAGAAAAAGAAAAAUAGCAAAUCACACGUGGUACUUCAUAGUCUUUGCCUAAAGGAGGGUUGUUUGACUAACAGAGAUUUUGGGCGAUAGUUACUAUUAUGAAUAGUUGCUUCAUAAGAAGCAUAAGAUAUGGGAGUCAUAUUUCUUCUUUGUACAUGUAACAGUUAAGAACACGGAUUACUGUUUGUAGUAGAAAGGAACACUUUGCAAAAUUACUCCUCACUUCAGAGUUAGUUUCUUUUUGCUUAGUUGCUGUUUCUCUUUCUCAAUGGCUGAAUGGAAUGGUAUUUGCAUUUUACAAACUCUAAUUAAAAUGUACCAGUUUCAUAUUUCAUUUUACAAAUCUAAGAUUCCUAAACACUUACAUGAACUAAAUUUUAAAUCAAGGUCUUAAUUAAAUCUUUAAAUAAUUAGUGUUCAAAGCAACAGUGUGAACAGAAUUACUGUUAAUUAGAUUGUUCAUUUAUCUAUUCUGUUAUAGCCAGAGAUACACAUUUGGAUCUUAACCGUAAGUGUUUACAGAGAAGAGACAGGUAGUGGAAAUUAUUUAUAAAUCUAUAGUAAAAUAUAGUUUUUUUCUGCUAGGACUGUGUGGCAGAGGGCGUGUGUGCCCGUAUGUGUGUGUAUGGUGUUAAAUUUGAAUUUUAGAAAAACAAGUUGUAAGUUUUGGUUAUGUUCCAAUCUUCUGCAUCUUGAAUAUACAUUUAUUAAGGCACCUUGGAUUUCUAACCUAAAAAUCUUUCAAUAUAAUGUAAUGUCCUCCAAGAUUACUUUAGUUCAGUAUCUACUUCUUACUAAAAAAAUUGGGAGGGGGUAGGUUAGAAAACUAGAGUUUUUUUAUGGACCACAAAAACUGUUCCACUGUAAUUUUAAAAGGCUGAAGACUUCAGGUUAAUAAGCUCAGAGAUUUCUCAUAGGGGAAGGAAACAGAAAAAUUAUUACAUUGAGAACAUAAUGAAAACAAAGAAAGCCUUUAUAAGCUAAUGCUGAAUUUCAAUUCUUCAAAACUUGAGAGAAAAUAUCUUUUGACAAAAUUAAAGUAUGAUAAUUUAUGUAUUUCCAUUUAUGAGAAUAACGCUAGAAUAAAUUAAAAAUAAAGAAAAUCACAAAGGGCUGUCUUUUCCAAUUUCUUCACGAUUAAGAUCUUUGUUUCUUCCAAUUGAUUAGUAUACAGUAUGUUUAUAUAACAACAAAUCUAAUUGCUAAGUGAAAUAUAGGUGCCAUCUAUAAAGUAAAACAGUUUUCAAAUGAGCAUCCGGUAGAGUGUUCAAAUGAAGGUUGAUUCGAGAUUCACACAUUUUGUUAACUGAUUUGAAUUUAAUAUAAAUUGAUUCAUACAGUAUAUAUUAUUCUUCUGCCACUUGAAUUUGAUAGAAUAUCUGUUACAUCCAGCUAUUGCAUAUAGUUGUAGUUCUUUUCUUUUCUCUAUAAUCUUCCACUGAAUGUGUCUACUCAUUCUGUCAUUGGAGGAUAUUUGGUUUGUUUCCGAUUUGGGGCUCUUACAAGUAGUGCUGGGAUUGCUGGGUCAUAGUCUAUUUGUAUUUUCCGCUUUUGUAGAGAAUGCCAGACUCUCUUGCUGUAGAAUUAAACCAGUUAAUACUGCUGUAAACACUGCAUGAAUAUCUUCAUUUUUCCAAUAUUUUAGGAUAUGUAUCACACUAUGAUUUUAAUUUGCAUUUAUGUAGUGAUUAAUCAUUAGUAAAUAAUACACUUAGUAGUCACUAGUGCAUACAUCUUAUUAAGUAUCUAUUCAAGUACUUUGUCCGUUUUUAUAAUUAAUUAUAUUUUUCACAUCAGUUUUUGAGAGUUUAAAAAUAUAUAGGGGCGCCUGGGUGGCUCAGUCAGUUAAGCGGCUGACUUCAGCUCAGGUCAUGAUCUCACGGUCCAUGAGUUCGAGCCCCGCAUCGGGCUCUGUGCUGACAGCUCAGAGCCUGGAGCCUGUUUUGGAUUCUGUGUCUCCCUCUCUCUCUGACCCUACCCCAUUCAUGCUCUGUCUCAAAAAUAAAUAAACGUUAAAAAAAAAAUUAAAAAAUAUAUAUAUAUAUUUUGUGUGUGUGACCCCCUAUUAAGCAUAUAUGUUUUAGAUAUUUUCGUCCACUUGCCUUUUUACUCUGUGAUGUUUUUGAUAAAGUUUUAACAUAGCCCAAUUUAUUAAUUUUUCUUUAUGUACAAUGGUCUUGUGUCCCACAUAAGAAAAUUUUCUGUACAAUAAUUUUAUAAGAUAGUUUUCUGUUUUAUGGCCUAGGGGCACUUGCCUGUUAUGUUUAUUUUUUUGCCAUUCAUCACUAACUGAUUUUGUGAUAGUGUGAAAUAGGGGUCAAACUUCAUUUUUUCCUACGUGGUUAUCCAAUUAAUCCAGCUCCACUAAUUGAAAAAAACUGCUCUGGGGGCACCUGGGUGGCUCAGUUGAUUAAGCGUCCGACUUCAGCUCAGGCCAUGAGCCUCUCGGUUCUUAAGUUCAAGCUCCACGUUGGGCUCUGUGCUGACAGCUCGGAGCCUGGAGCCUGCUUCAGAUUCUGUGUCUCCCUCUCUGUUCCUUCCCUGCUCGUGCGCUGUCUCUCAAAAAUAAAUAAAGAUUUUAAAAAAUUGAAAAGACUGCUUUAAAUCAAAUUCCCACAUGUUUGCAAACUUGCUUGUAGAUUCUCUAUUUUGGUCCACUGACCUAUUUUUCUAACCUUGAACCAACAACACAUGGUCUUAAUUACUGAAGGUCUGUAGUAUGUCUUCAUGUCUGAUAAAAUAAGUCAUCAUAUCUGUUUUUUUUCUGCAGGGUUCUUGGUAAUUUUUUGUUUUUGCAUUUCCAUAUAUAUUUUAGAAUCAACCUUGUCUACACACACACACACACACACACACACACAUCUUUUCAGAUUUUGAUGGCGAAUGCACCGAAUUCUACAGAGUGAUUCAACCUAGUUAAACUUUUGAGAUUUUAAAUCUAGGAUCCAUGUAUAUUAUUCCAUUUUUGAAGUUUUUCUUGAUAAUGUUUUAUAGGAUGCUCACAAAGAGGUCUUAUGCAUCUGUCAUUAGAUUGAUAUUUUAUCUAAGUAAGGAUUUAUAUAAAAUAUUUCACAUUUUUGAUGUUAUUUAAAAGACCUUAUUUUUUUAAUUUUUAAUUUUUGAAAGAGUUUUUGUUAAAACAUUUUUUAAAUGUUUAUUUAUUUUUGAGAGAGGGAGAGACAGAGCAUGAGCAGGGGAGGGGCAGAGAGAGAGAGGGAGACCUAGAAUCCAAAAUAGGCUUCAGGCUCUGAGCUGUCAGCACAGAGCCCAGUACGGGACCGGAACCCACGAACCAAGAGAUCAUGACCUAAGCCAAAGUCAGAAGCUUAACUGACUGAGCCACCCAGGUGCCCCCUUUUUUUAUUUUUUAAAAAAUAUUUAUUUAUUUUGAAAGAGAGAGAGCAGGGGCGGGGGAGAGAGAGAGAGAAUUCCAAGUAGGCCUUGCGCUGUAGGAACCUGAAGCGGGGCUCAAUCUCAGGAACAGCGAGAUAAUGACCUGAGCCGAAAUCAAGAGUCAGACACUAAACUGGCUGAGCCACCCAGGUGCCCCCAAAAUAGCAUAUUUUCAAAUAUCUUCAUAACUGUUUACUGCUAGUAUAUAGAAGAACUCUAUUUGUUUUGUUUUUCAUUACAGGAGCCAGCAGCCUUGAAAAAUCACUUACUAUAUAUAAUAAUUCAUUAUAGUUUCUUUUAGAUUUUCAAUAUUCAUGUGCACAUCGACUGUGCAUAAUGGCGUUUUUACCUCUUCCUUUUCAAUCCUUAUAUUUUCUUUUUUCUUACUGUUCUGGCUAAGACUUUUAGCAAAUUGUCAAAUGGAUUUGUGAAUAAUGAGCAUUUGUGCCUCACUCCUCAUUUCAGGCAAAGAACAAUUUAUCGUUUAUCAUUAGUCAUAUGCUCCAAUGUGCUCCAAGUUCUUACCAAUUCCUUUUUAUCAGAUUAAGGACAUUCCUAGAUAUUUCUAAUUUCCACAAAAGGAAGUUCAGUUUUCUCGAAUGCUUUUUCUGCCUAUGUUAAAAUGUUGACAUGAGUUUUCUUUUUAUAAAUGUUACUUCAUGGUUGAACUAUAUUGAUCUGGUUGUAUUCCUAGUAUAAACCUAUCUUGUACUCCAAGCGUUCCUAGUAUUCCUAGCAUAAACCUACCUUGAUAAUGAUGUCUUAUUAUUUUCUAAUGUAUUCUGAUAAAGACUUGUUGUUUUUUAUUUUUAUAUUUUAGGAUACAUCUAUGUGUCUAUAUCCACAAGAAACAUCACCUGUAGUUUUCCUAUCAACUUUUGAUAUCAAAAUUAUUUUGGCCACAUAAAAUGAGUUGGGGAUGUUUUCUUUUCUUUUUUUUUUCUGUUAUCUGGAAGAAUUUAUGUAAGAUUAAUAUAUUUCUUUUUUAAAUGUUUGGAAGAGUUAACUUGAGAGGCUAUAACAUUGUGGAGUUUUCAUUAAAGAAAAGUGCUAUUUACUAAUGAAAUUUCAUUGAUAGUUAUGAGAUUUUUCCAUUUUUUCCUUUAAAAAAUUUAUUUUAUGUUUUAUUUAUUUUUGAGAGAGAGAGAGAGGGAGAGAGAGAAAGCACGGGAGGGACAGAGAGAGAGAGGGAGACACAGAAUCCAAAGACAGGCUCCAGGCUCUGAGAUAGCUGUCAGCACAGAGCCGGAUGCGGAGCUCAAACGCACGAACCGCGAGAUCAUGACCUGCGCUGAAGUCGGAGGCCCAACCGACAGAGCCACCAAGGCGCCACUUUCCAUUUUUUUCAUGUCAUCAUUAUUUAUUAACUCUUGUGGAGUUUGUCAAUUUCACCUAAGUUUCUCCAUUUAAUGGAGAUGUCCAUAAUUUAAAAACUUUUAUUAGUUUUUAUGCCAACUUUUGAUGUUACUAUAUUGCAUAGCUAUUCUGAUUUACUAAUUAUUAGGUUCUGCUCUUUAUAUCUGCGUUUAUUAUUUCUUGAUUCUUCUCUGAUUUUGCUGAUUUUUUUGAAUUUUCUGUGUUUUAAAAAUCUAUACACUAUAUGGCAUAUGUAUGUUCUUUUCUUUUGUGUGUGAGUAGCUCUUAUAUUUUAAAAAGUUAGUAAAUUUGGGGCGCCUGGGUGGCUCAGUCGGUUGAGCGUCCGACUUCAGCUCAGGUCAUGAUCUCACAGUUCGUGGGCCCGAGCUCCACAUCGGGCUCUGUGCUGAUGGCUCAGAACCUGGAGCCUGUUUCGGAUUCUGUGUCUCCCUCUCUCUUUGCCCCUCCCCCAGUCAUGCUCUGUCUCAAAAAUAAAUAAACAUUAAAAUAAAAUAAAAUAAAAUAAAAUAAAAAGUUAGUAAAUUUGUGCUAGCAUUUUUCUCUAUUUAACAUAAUGUCUCAGGUCCCUCUUUUCAUAUAGCAUCCGGGGGAUCCUUAUUCUGAUGAAUCAUACAAAUGGUUUAUUUCCUUUUCUACUGCACUUACUCUGUUCUCUACCAUCCAACUUUAGUAAAUAAUGAUUUCCCCUUAUGACAUUUUUAUAAGUUUUAUUUGCUUUUUGAGAGAGAGAGAGCACGAGCGGGGAAGGCACAGAGAGAGAGGGAGACAGAGAAUCCUAAGCAGGUUCCACACUGUCAGCACAGAGCCUGAUGUGGGGCUCAAACUCCUGAACCAUGAGAUCACCAUCUGAGCCAAAAUCAAGAGUCAGAUGCUUAACUGACUGAGCCACCCAUGUGCCCCAUUUUUCCUUUUCAAUUUUGACUUUUGUAACGCUUGACAUUAGUACCUUAUGUUUCUCGACCUAAAUGUUAUCCUAUUUCCUCCCAGCUAUCAGUGAUGAGACAAAGAUGAAACUUAAAUUGGGUCUGAUAUUCUUCCUUUCUUCUUCUCACUUUUAUUAGUUGCAUCAUUUCACUUUAUGGAGGAACAUAAUCCUUAAGCUCCACUCUGCUAACUAACUACACCUCCUAAUCUGAGUCCAACUUCUUUUAAAAAAAUGUUUUUAAAUAUUUAUUAAUUUUUGAGAGACAGAGAGAGAGAGAGAGGGAGACACAGAAUCUGAAGAAGGCUCCAGGCUCUGAGCUGUCAGCACAGAGCUUGAUGCGGGGCUCCACGAACUGCGAGAUCAUGACCUGAGCCAAAGUCGGACUCUUAACCAACUGAGCCACCCAGGCGCCCCUAUUUGAGUCCCACUUCUUUUUUUUAAAAAAAAAAUUUUUUUUUCAACGUUUAUUUAUUUUUGGGACAGAGAGAGACAGAGCAUGAACAGGGGAGGGGCAGAGAGAGAGGAAGACACGGAAGAGAGAGAGGAAGAAUCGGAAACAGGCUCCAGGCUCUGAGCCAUCAGCCCAGAGCCCGACGUGGGGCUCGAACUCACGGACCGCGAGAUCGUGACCUGGCUGAAGUCGGACGCUUAACCGACUGAGCCACCCAGGCGCCCCUUGAGUCCCACUUCUUACAGCGGCUCCUCACUACCAGGUUGCCUGCCAUGUUGCACACCGCCACCUCUCCCCAAUAACUGAAGUUCUACUAGUUUCCUCAAGAAAUCAUGGCAAGGAUAUUUUCUAAGUCCUUGUAUGUUCAUAAUUAGCCUGGUUAAAUAUCCUUAAAAUUGCAUUCUACCCUGUUGUCCUUUCACCAAAGAAAAUGAGCCAAAAAAGGCCAGAAUUGGACUUGCUGUUCAUACAUUUGCAUUGAUUUAAAUACAAUACAUACAAGGUCUACCGCGCAAUGGAAGAACAACGCAGGCAGCAGCAUUCUCCCAGCCCGGCUUCUCCUCCCUGACACAGGGACAGGGCCUGGGGCUGGCUGAGGGCUGGGCUGUUCCAUGAGUGUCACCCACAAGCCCGCCUUGGCAGUUUGGGCCCCUGGUUCUCCCCAAGUUCACAGUCAAGGCAGCCUUGAAGGAGAAUGGCUUCAAGGACAAUGGACACAUGCCACAAAAGGAUCCCCCACACUCUUGCCUGCCAGGACUAGGUCCAGCCCGCUCAUACACUGAACUCAAUUUCCUUCUCAUCACAGAACUGGUCUGGAUGAGGGAUAGUCUAGUUAAAUAUAAAACUCUUAGCUCACACUUUCUUUUCUCAUAUUGACCAAAACAGCCUUAUUUUUCCCCUCAGUCUGACUAAAUUUUAAACAUGUUUCUUCCUGAUGAUAGGCUCCUGAAUUCCCUUCUCUUAGAGCAUUUACUUUAAAGACUUUCAAUUGUAGGUUCUUUCUCUGCUCCUUUGACCUGUAAAUGUUUUCCUAGCCUCUUUCCAGUUUUAUAACCCAGAAAUGACCUUCUCAAGGACCUGGGAGCCAUCCUUUUGAAAUGUGAUCAUUGGGAAACAUAGAGCCUCUAUCUCCCUGACUUUGUGGACAGGUUAGAAGCCUACCUUCAUUGCAUGUAGACUAGCAAACACAGAAGCCUAUGCCUUCACAUUGAACAUCUUCCUCCCUGAUGCCCUUUGGUACUUUUCUGCUGGCUUAGCCUAGUGCUAAAAAACGAUCCGACCUCUUGUUUCAAUCUCUCUUCCCUGUGGUAAUAGUAUUGAAUAAUGUUUUCUUUGCCAAUUUAACUAUGUCUGGUGAAAUGUUUCUUUGACAACGUGUCUUGUAAGUAUUGUUCCACUGUCUCUGUUAUCAUCUAUUUCUGUGAAGAAAUCUGAGGUCAGCUUGACUAUUCUCCCGUUAGAAAUGUCCUGAGGGACAUGUGGGUGGCUCAGCAGGCUAAGUGUCCGACUUCGGCUCAAGUCAUGAUCUCACGGUUCGUGAGUUCGAGCGCCGCAUCGGGCUCUGUGCUGACAACUCAGAGGUUGGGGUCUGUUUCAGAUUCUGUGUCUCCCUCUCUCUCUCUGCCCCUCCCCCACUUGCAUUGUGUCUCUUUCUCUCAAAAAUAAAUACACAUUUAAAACAACUUAAAAAAAUUGAAAAUUAAAAAAAUUAAAAUCUCUUGAAUUUUUACCUCGCUAUCCUAAUAUAAAUCUCAAUAACUUUACCAAGGCAUGUCUCAUGAACCUUUACAGUUCAGUAUUCACUGUAGAAAAGUAAAUGUAUCGUGGAAAAGUUUUCUUAACGCAUGGCUUAAAUAUUUGUUUGGUUAUUGUUUUGGUUGUUUUCAUUAUUAUCUCCAAUCACAUCUACAUUUGAUCUUGUUUAUCUGUUUCCUAUUUACCACAUGCUCCCUAGUCCUUUUUCCAUCUUUAUUUCUGUUUUAUUUUGCUCUAUUUUUCCAUUUUCAUACUUCCCUCUCCAUGGUAGUUCCCUACAACUUUUUAUACAUUUAUGUGUCGAUUUUGUUUUCCUUUCUAUUUCACUUUUUGCCAACUUACAUUUCAAUUUCUUCUAUUUUUUUUUUUUUUUCAUCACAUUUACCCUGACCUCUUGCACUUUUUGCUUGGGUGGUCUUCUAAAGCCAUGAUUUCUUCUUUAGUUGAACACAUUUUGUGUCAAGAUGUUUCAUUAUGAUUCAUCUAUUCUCUUUCACAAUUUCAAUUAAUUCUAUGAGUGAUAAAACUAUACAAGAAUAUGCACAAUAAUUUAAAUUUUUAUCAGUCAGGGUCCUUGUUUGAAGCCUCAAUAUUUCAUUCUGCCUAAGUUAGGCAGAAUGGAUUGAUUCAAAGGAUCUUAGGUGACUAAUAGGAAGACUGGAGGUCAGGGAUGAGGAAACAGGCAGAAAUCAAAGGGAGUUUUAGGGCCAGAGGCACCCUUGCUGUCAUACCACAGAACUCAUGUAUUUAGCACACUGACACUAAUCUUGCAAACAGAAACUGGGGCUAUCAUUGUCCCAGCUGCCACUAGACACCAGACUCCACCAUCAACUGACACAAUGAACUGUAAUGUAUACCUAUUGCCUGUUUCUAUUCAAUGUCCCAGGCAAAAACAUAUAAUUAGUUGAACGUGGAUCACUUGCCUGCCCCUGGUUGCCAGAGUACAGGAAGAACAACUAUUUGCUUUUUUUUUUUUUUGAAUCCAGGAAGACUCACACAUCGAAAGAAUCUCUAAUUAUUUGGUGGGGCUUCAGAUUCUGGGCAGUCAAGUUAAUAUUGGUAUAUGACCAUUUAAAAAGUUACAUACUGGAAUGAUAAAGAUGUGACUUAAAGGGCCAAACUAUUAAAGGAAAAUGAAGAUGUAAGUUAUAAAGAAAUGGGAAAGACAUAAAUGAGAAGGUACCAUGGGGUGAUGAGCAUGUAUUGUUUUUGACCACUGGCAUCAGUUUUUCCUUAUUCUGGUAAUAGCAUCUGGAUUUUACUUUGAGAACCACCUCACCACUUAUAGUCUCUAUAGGGCAGGUAGGGAUAACCCAACUCAUUUGGUGGUAGGUCCAGGCCUGGACUUGAUCAGUCAAGGCAAUCUACCUCACUGGUGACUGAGAUUAGUUCGGAGCUGGGCAUGUUACUCACACAAGGCAAAGGAGAUCUCUGAAAAAGAAAUCAUGACAGAUCAUUUCAGGAACUAUUGGAACAGAGAUAUUUCCUUUUCAGAAUGGCUGCUUGUUUGUAACAGAAUCUUCAAGCUUCUGGUAGCCAUGUUGACUCUAUGUGAGACAGUAUCAUAGAUGGCUACACUGAGGCCAAUGAGAGGAAAACUGGCUAGAGGUGGGUAGAUUUCCUGACCACAUUUGUUGUAGUUCAUUGCAGUCCUGGCUGAAGUGUGUAAGACUCCUAAGAAGAAAACUCUAUUAACUUACUGAGAAAUAUAUAAAAGGAGGCUCGAAUUUCCAGUACACAUUUUCAUUUCAUAAGUGAAAUCUUACAAAUUCUAAAGUUGAUUUCCAAGACAAUUUGGAUAAAAAAAAAAAACGGCCAGAAAAUUUUAAUACCCAUAAGAUGAUUAACAAAUGUCAAAGCAUACAGUAAUGCUCCAGAAGUUAAAAAAAUGUGACUCUGGUGCUGAAACUUAUUAAUUAAUGGAAUAGAACAAAGUCAAGAUAAUUCAUGCAUCCAUUGAAUCAUUUUAUAAUACUGAUAUUUCAUAUUAGUGAGAAAAGAAUGGGAUUCAAUACAUAAUAUUGGGAAAGUUACAUCACAUGGAAAAAUAAGUUAGAUCCAUGUUUCAGAAAACUAAUUCUGUGUAGAUGUAAAAAUAAAAUUCCAGAAGAAUGAAAUACCUGUUUAAAAGAACCAGAAGAAUGCCUUUUUGUAGUUGCUAUGGACUGGAUUGUGUCCCCCACAGAUUUGUAUGUUGGAGCCCAGGGCAUUUAGAAGGUAAUUAAGAUUAAAUGAGGUCCUAAGGGUGAGGUCCUAAUACACCAGCAUUGUUAGCCUUAUAAGGAGUGGGAGAGAGAGAGAUCUCUCUUCAUGCAUGGGCAUUGAGGAAAGACCAUGUAAGGAUAGGGUGAGAAGGUAGUCUUCUGAAAGCCAGGAAGAGAGCUCUCACCAGAAAUUGAGCAUGGUGGCACCCAGAUCUCGGACUUACAGCCUCCAGAAACCGUGAGGAAGGAAAUUUCUGUUGUUAACCACAUGAGGUAUUUUGCUAUGGUGGCCUGAGCUGACUAAUGCAGUAAACCGAAACUGAAGAUCUUUCAAACAUGUCAUCAAGACUGAAAAUCAAAAAUCUAAGAAGUUUUACAAAUUUGAUUACAUGAAACGUUAAAACAUCUGUAUCAUGGAAACUACCACAUUUCAGGUAAAGAGAAGCAAUAGACAGACAUGGACAAAAUAGUAUUCAUUUUCUCUAUAUAAUAAAAUCAAUAGCCAUCAUCUAAGGAGUUUCUAAAAUAAAGAAGAAAAUGACAGUUCAAUAGAAAAAUGGACAAUUAAUGUAAACAGAAAAUUUGCAGAAGGAAAAAUGGAUUAAUAAAUGUAAGAAAACUGCUUGACCUCAUUUGUUUUUUAAAUCUUUUUUUUUAAUGUCUGUUUAUUUUUGAGAGAGAGAGGGACAUUUGGGUGGCUCAGUUGGUUAAGCGCCCAACUUUGGCUCAGGUCAUGAUCUCACGGUUCAUGGGCUCGAGCCCCACAUCGAGCCUGGAGCCUUCUUCGAAUUCUGUGUCUCCCUCUCUCUUUGCCCCUUCCCAGCUCAUGCUCUCUCUCAACUUUAAAAAAAUUAAAAGAGAGAGAGAGAGAGAGAGAGAACGAGUGGGGGAGGGGCGAAGAGAGAGAUGCACAGAAUCCAAAGCAGGCUCCAGGCUCUGAGCUGUCAGCACAGAGCCCACCGUGGGGUUCAAACCCACGAACUUGGGGAUCAUGACCUGAGCCAAAGUUGGACACUUAACUGACUGAGCCAUCCAGACACCCCUGACUUCAUUUGUGAUCAAAGUAAUACAUAAGGAAAUCAUAAUAAAAUGCUUUUCCUUGUCAAUUUAUAAAGAAAGAGUUGAGUGUCAGCAUCUACUAUUGGCCAGAUGGAACAAAAUAGCACUGUUAUGUAUCAUGAAUUGUGGUAUCUGUUAUGCCCAGAAUUCGCGAUCCCCAAAGACCACCAGGGAGCCAAGUCCGAUGCAAAAGCAAAGAGCCUUUAUUCGAGCUAGUAGCUCGAGCUCAAUCCCCUACCUGCACCCACACAGCAGUGAAAUGCUGGAGAGAGCCAGCGAGUUUCAAAAACACAAAGGUUUUAUAGGGGUCUAGGGGCAGUUGGUGAGGUAAUGGCUGUGGCCUUAGCCGAUUGGCUGGGGAAGGGUUGUGGCCUUAGCCAAUUUGCUGGGGAAGGGUCAAAGUCCCAUUAGGCAGGUUGCCGGGUGUGUUUUGAUCUGGAAGUUUCAACGGGUGAGUGGGAGGUUACUCAAGAGGAGGAGGCGUGGUCUGAGGUUUCUGCGGUUUUCCCAGAAAGGGGGCCAAGUAGGGGACAUAGUCACUCAAGAUGGAGGACACAGAACAUGAUGGAGUCGGCCGGGGUAGGUCCGCUCUUUCAGUAUCCAUAUGCUGAUAUAAUGCUUCAGUAUCUAUUACAUCUAAAAUAUGUAUCCCACUGAUCCAGCAAACCUCCUGUUCAGAGAGUUUUUGACAGAAAUGACCUUACUGUGAACAAAUAUAUAUUCAUUGGAGCAUUGUUUAUAACAGCACAAAUAAAUUAAAAAACAAAAAAACCUGAACAUCCACCAAAGAAGGUUUAGAUAAAUUAGGAUACAUGCCAAUAUGAACUAUUAUGCAUGGGUAAAAAUAAUAUUCUUUUUUGUAUAUAUGAGGGGAAGUUCCAGUAGGAAUUGCAAAGCCUAAAAGUUAUUCACAAAUGCGUGUAGAGUGUGAUGCUAUUUACAAACAUUCUAAAACCUGUGUGUGUGUGUGUGUGUGCGCACCAAAGGAAAAAAGAACAGAAAGAUAAAUGCCAAACAUUCAGGUGUUUACCCUAGAGAGGGGAGUAGUAUGAUGGAAAUACUUUUGCUCUUUUAGUCUCUACUGCUUAGCUGUAUUACAAUGAAUAAUAAUAGAGUUUAAUUUUUUAAUGUUCGUUUGUUUUGAGAGAGUGUGUGCAUAUGAGCAGGGGUCGGGGGGACAGAGGAUCUGAAACAGGCUCUGUGCAGACAGCAGACAGCAUUAUGCACGGCUCUUAACCCAUGAACCGCGAGAUCAUGACCUGAGCUGAGGUCACACACUUAACUGAUUGAGGCACCCAGGCGCCCCCACAUACGAAUAGAGUUUAAAACAUAGAAUUAGCACUUAUUCUGGAAAAGUUAUGGUAAAAAAAAAAUGAAAAUGUUGGUACCAUCAUCAAAUAGUUCUUUUUUGGAAACAACAAUUGAUAUAGUAAAAGCCACAAACUUACAUCUGGUUAUAAAAUAGAAGUAAUAGGUUUUACAUAUCUUGUUACGUCACUUCAAUUCUACUGACAAAUUGAUACUAAAACUCUGUUUUAUCAAUGAAAACGACUUAGGCUCAAACAUUGACUUCAGUAGGAAGUUAGAGCAGUGCAGGUGGGCACAGGUGUAUCCCUAUAAAACCUCUUCAGUAUAUCUGUUCCAGGUUCAGAGUCACAGCCUAUGGGAGGGAGGUGGGGAAAGGGGACUAAGUAAUCUGACCUUAGUGUCCUCUGUUCUCCAUGCCUGCCACGCCUCCCACUGGGAGACUCCAACUAGAAAAUGGAGGGCUAGGAGCCUGGGUGAGACAAUCCCUAAUGUAACCCAAAGGCAGUUCUGGGCCACAGAGCAGGGAGGGGAAGGGACAUCUAUAGCUUUGCAGCAGCACAAGGAGAAGAGCCACCCUAAACACCAUACACCCAGAUGGUCUCCACCACUCAAGCCUUUUCUACUUUCUCUCUUCUAGGAAGGCUCUUCACAGACCACACCUACGUCUGACUAAUUGUCUUUCAAAGUUGAACUCAGCCAGUCUCUUAAAUUGCUAAGGUCAGGUGCAGCACUCCCCAAAGAAGUAGAGUUCCAGGCGUUGGUGUAUUUUUCCUAUUGCUUCACACCUGGAACCAGAGGCAUCCAUUACAGCUCCAGGAAGACAUGCAGGUACCAAAUGAAAAACCUGGAAUUUGUGUUCUGAGAACUAUGACACAAGAGAAAACUGGUGGACUGUUACCAGUAACCUCAAAAUUAAAAUAAAAAUAGCCAGCCUCUAUGUUUUGUGGAACGAAAUUUGCAGGUAAUUUUCCAAUUAUUAAAGACAAGAAGGGGGAUUGCUAAGGAUUAAAGUCCUCACACAGCUCCGAUAGAUACAUUUUAAAAGAAACUCUACAAGGGGCGCCUGGGUGGCUCAGUCGGUUACACGUUGGACUUAGGCUCAGGUCCCGACCUUGCAGUUUGGGAGUUCGGGCUCUGUGCCGACAGCCCAGAGCCUGGAGCUUACUUCAGAUUCUACCUCCCUUUCUACCUGCCCCUCCCCUGCUCAAGCUCUGUCUCUCUCUCAGAAAUAAACAUUAAUUUUUUUUUCAAAAACAAAAUAAUAGAUAUUCUACGGAAGGCAAAAAAGACUUUUUCUCAAACAUAUACUCUAGAAAGCUUGAGUAUUUAUAUAUAGCUACCGGCCUGCACUAUGUUAUUAUUCUUGUGGGUUUCCCUCUUUUUAAUGAUGCAUGUGCACUUAGUAUAUUAGCAGGCUUCCCCUUGUUUUUAAAGGGAGAACCCAACAUCCAAAAAUAGAUUGAUUUUAUGCUUAAAUACUGAAGUAAUAGUUCUGGGAAUAAGAGCCUUCAGAGUCUCUUAAGUUUCUUUAUAUCCCUUAUUUUAUUUGCUAAGAAUAUUAUGGAAACUCUGCCAAUACCCUUUGGUAAGAAGCUAAUUAACAAUGAAUGAGUAUAGUCAAUUGAGAUAUUGUUAUGUAAGCAAAUAGAACAAUGCCAGGCUACAUCGUUUAUUAUAAAACAUGCCUCAAUUAAAAUUUCAUGUGAUAUAGUGCACGCAGAUUUUCUAGGAUAAACAGCAAUGUUUUAGAGACUAAAACCCUUUUAUAGUGCUCUACUAAACCCUGAGACAGCAAAUCAAUAGGAUAUUCAAGUCAAGCAAGACAGUUUCAGAGAAGGACAAACUAUUAACCUUAAAUGUGAAUGCAUUUGCAUUUAUAAAUUUAGCUUAAAUCAAUUUGUGUCUAAUCUCCUUGUAAUUAUAUCCUGUUAUUUAGAAAUGAUAAGUAUAUUUUUAAAACUUUUUAAUUGACAUUGUAAUGAUCCAAAUGUAACUCAGAGUGGCCUUUAUUAUAUUCUUAGGGAGAUAAUAUCAAAUCUGCACAUGAUGACUGCAACUUGUUCCAACUACCCGGUAAGUAUCAGUGAUGAAAAUUGCUUAUAAAAUUUUGAGCUCCCUGGAUUCAGCUUUUCAUGCUUGGUUGUCUAAAGACAUUCCCUUCGGUCUUUUAUUCCUUGAGAUAAAAUUCACAUACCAUAACAUUUAUAUCCUUUUAGUGUUUUAGUAUAUCCACGAUGUUGUGCCAUCAUCACUACUGUUUAAUUGCGGAAUGUUUUCAACAUCUCCAAAGAAAGCCCAUACCAGUCGGUGGUCAUUCUCGAUUACCCCUCACCCCAAUCCCUGGUAACCAGAGCUGAUACUCUAUCUCCAUGGAUUUACCAAUUCUGGACAUGGUAUAUACAUGGAAUCAUAGAAUAUGUGGCCUUUUGCCUUUGACUUUUUCAACUUAGCAUAAUGUAUUCAAGGUCAUCCAUGUCGUGGCACCAAUCAUUAGUUUAUUUCUUUAUAUGGCUGAAUAAUGUUCCAUUAUAUGGACAUAUCACAUUUUGUUUAACCAUUCAUCAGUUGAUGAACAUUUGGGUUGUUUGCAUUUUUUUGCUAUUAUGAAUAACUCCACAAUGAAUACUUGUGUACAAGUUGUGGUCAUAUGUCUUCAGUUCUCUUGGAUAUAUAUCUAGAAGUGGAAUUGCUGGGCUCUGUGGUCACUCAAUGCAGAAUUAAGUUUUGUGGGAUCCCUGAAGAAUUUCACUGCAUCUUUUUAGGUUCUCACCAGCGAGGUAUGAGGGUUCCAACUUCUCUACAUCGUCACCAACACUGGUUGUUGUCUGUGUUUUUGUUUAUAUCAAUCCUUUCCUUCAUGCCUUUUUUUUAAAGUUUAUUUAUUUAUUCUGAGAGAGACAGAGACAGCGUGAGCAGGGGAGGGGCAGAGAGAGAGGGAGAGAGAGAGAAUUCCAAGCGGGCUCUGCACUGGCAUCGCAGAGCCCCAUGCGGGGCUUGAACUCACAAAACCACAACAUCAUGACCUGAGCUGAAACCAAGAGUUGGAUGCUUAUCCAGCUGAGCCACCCAGGCACCCCUUUUUCUUCAUUCUUAAAUAAAAAAUCCAAUUAAUCCUUAGAAUACCUUUUUAUAUUGACACUGACUAUCCUAAAUAACUCAGCGAUUAAAGCUUUUCUUUCAACUACUGUUUUCAUCAUUUUGAGCAGAAAUAUUUUUGAUAUCUGUGAAAUGGAGAAAAUGCUACACACUUGAAAUGAAUUUGUGGAAAUUUCAUGAGUAUAUUGGUUUCCUAAUGAUGCUGUAACAAAACAAAUUUGGUGAUUUAAACAAGACAAAUUUAUUAUCUUAUCGUUCUAAAGGUGACUAUUCUGACAUGAAACUCACUGGGCUGAAAUCAAGAUGUUGGCAGGGCGGCAUUCCUCUCUGUAGGUCUAUUUCCUUGCUUUUUCAAGUUUCUAAAGACCACCCCCAUUCCUUGACUCAUGGAUUUCUCUCUCUUACCUUCAAAGCCAAGAAGGGCAAGUAGAGUCCUCCACCUGUUUCCAUCUCUUCACUUAGAAAAGAUUCCUCACUUGUAAGGAUGCAGGAUUAGAAUGGACCCACACAGACAACCCAGGAUAAUCUUUCCUUCUCCAGGCCCUUAAACUUUAAAAAAAUUUUUUUAUGUUUAUUUAUUUUUGGGAGAGAAAGAGACAGAGCACAAGCAGGGGAGGGGCAGAAAGAGAAGGGAGACACAGAAUCCGAAGCAGGUUUCAGGCUCUGAGCUGUCAGCACAGAGCCCGACGUGGGGAUUGAACUCACAAACCGUGAGAUCAUGACCUGAGCCCAAGUCAGUCACUUAACUGACUGAGCCACCCACGGGCCCCUCCAGGCCUUAAUUGAACCAUAUCUGCAAAAUACCUUUUACCACGUAAGGUAACGUGUUCAAAGAUUCUAUGAAUUAUGGCAUAGACAUCUUUGUGGGACCAUUGUUUUCCCAUCACAAUGAGACAACGUACGUCUCGUGACAGGUACAGGACUGGCACACAAUGCUGGAUAACCAUCUUUUUUUAAUUGUUUAUAAUAGGUACUAUAUGGUAAAAUGGCAAUGUAGUACAUUUCUACUGUGUCAAGAAGAUGGAUGGCCAAAUCUGAGACAGCUGUACGUAAAGACUUAAAGUUCAUACACUACUGUUACUCCCACAGAAUAAUUCUUGUCAUGGGAUAUUUGGCAGAUGAGUAUCGUGGCAUUAACCCCCGGCCACAACUGCCUCAUCUUUCCUCUGGCCUGGCAGCCAAGACAUCUCAGGGCCAUUUGGAGAUAUUUUGUUUUUGUGAUGUGAUCAUCACAGUCCUUUACCUAAAACUGAGAGGACACUGAAGAGACCUUGAGAGAGGAAAAGAAUAUUGCCAGAAUUCUAAAAAGUGGACCGUUGGUUCUGUCACCUGUGAUGAGUGACGUUUUUCCUUCAUUUAUUCACAUCAGUAUCACUAAUUUCUGGGUCUUCUAAUGCUUGAUAUGUACCCAUAGCUUACUUUUAAAAUGGGGAGAGUGGUCACAAUAGUGUUUAGCGAGCAAAGACAUUAUUAGCUGGAUAGUUGCUAAAAUUCCCUAUGAUGAAGAAAGUCAUUUCCAAUAUCUCUCUUGUGUCUUUGCUACACACACACACACACACACACACCGAUAAUUUCUUCCAAAUACCUGGUUCUAUGGCAAGAGUUCCACUCCCUGACAACUUUGGGGUUUGAAAGAAGAUUGGGUAGCAUUAACAUAGUAAAUGUUCACAUUUCAUAGUAACAUUAAUACAGUAAUUGUCAAUUAUCUUAAAAACAACAACCACUACCACCAUCACAACCACCACAGGAAAUAGACCUCUGUUAAUAAAAUGAAAUAAAUUUCUAGCUCCACAGGGAAACAAAAUGUUGUGUCAUUGGUGGAGACCAGAACCAAAACAAAUCACUUUAUUCAUAAUAACUGGAAAUGUCAUUUUCUCCCUUAGGAUUAGCUUUUCUCUUCUGUAACCAUAAUCACUUUUUGCCUAAAGGAAUUAAUUCUGAAAUUAAGACUAGCUAUUUUGUAUUACUUCUUGUUUCUUUGAUCAAAAAAAGGCAGUUACAGACUUAUUGAGUUAAAAAUAAUUCUUGAUUUUUUUAAAGCAAUUGUUGCCCUGGAUAAGUUAGGAGUUUCAGUCCAAUGCCACCAAAUUUUUAAAUUAAAAAAAUUUUUAAGAUUAUUUAUUUAUUUUGAGAGAAGGGAGAGAGAGAGAGAGAGAGAGAGAUGACAAGUAGGAGGGACAGAGAGGAGAGACAGAAUCCCAAGCGAAUCCCAACUCGAGGCUCGAACUCCUGAAUAUGAGAUCAUGAUCAAGAGUCAGACGUUUAACAGACCACACCACCCAGGUGCCCAAUGCCAUCAAAUUUUUAGUAAAAUCAUUGCAUUGUCAGAUGGCUACAAAAGAAAUAACGUUUUCUGUAAUUUGUGGACAUUCCCUAAAUGUCUCUAAAAGCUUUGCCAAUAUUUGCCAGUUUGAAAAUAUGUUCUAGUAGAAAUUCAGCUAGUGGUAUUUUAAGCAAAUUCCAAUUAGAAACCAUUUAGAUGUCAGUGAUCAAAACAUAGGAGGGAGAGUUGGUAUCUAACGAUGAUAACGCACAUUUAUAGAAUACCUUUCCCUGAGAAGAUCAGAACAGGUAAGCACAAGUACUUGUAUCUGUUUAACACUGAUGCUUGGAGUUGGGCACAUACGCUGACUUUUCCAGGUGGGGCUAAGGAGGAGAGCUGUGUAUUUACCUCGCACAUCUGACAGCACAGGAACAGGCUUGUUUUAUUUAGUGGGGAAAGAGCGGAUAGCCAGGGGUGAAUUGACACAGAGGAACAGAUAGCCUCGGUUCAAGCACUGUUUGCCUCUGACAUCAGUGUUACUGUUGACAUCUUCUGUCCUUUGUUGUCAAUCCCUAAACUAAAUUACGGAUUUUGUUCCCGCAUAAAAAGAAAGCUGUAAUUCAUUGCUUCAUGUACGUUAGCAAAAAUGCUUCUGCCAAAGGCUGUUUCUGAAAUACUGCAAUAAAAAGACCUAAAUCAAUAGAGGAGAAAAAUGAAAAUGAUAAAUAAUAAUAAAUGAGAGAAAAAUUUUAAGAUGUCUGACAAUGCCAUAUUCUAUUUAAGGGUCAAGCUAAAAGUAUGUUGACGCAGACCUUAGAAGGGUCUGAAUGCGCUCCGGUGCCCACGACUUUUUCAGCUGGUGAUUUGCAACAUACUUUUAAUAAAGAAUGUGGGUAAAAUAAGAGAAAAGAAAGCAAGUAAAAAACACCUACACUCCUAGUACCUGCACAAACUACCGUUCAUCUUUUGGUGUAUUUAUUUUCUUUUUCUGCAAAUUAUUAUACUUUUGUUUGUAAAUUUUUAUUUUGAGAUGAUUUCAAAUUCAUGGAAUAUUUUCAAGAUGCGUACUAUAAAUUCCCUGAUACUUUUAACCCAGAUGUAACAACUGUUCAGUUUUGCCUCCUUAGCUGUAUCAGGUUCUUUCUCUUCACCUGUGUGCACGUGCACACACACACACAUACGCACACACACAUCUACCUGUGUCUGCGUAAAUAUUUGUAACCAGAUACAUAUGAAAAAAAUUUUCCUGAAUCAUUUGGGGGUAUUAUAUCUUUACUCCUAAAUACCUCUAAAAAUCAAGAACUUGAACAUUGUUGUAAUACGUUAUCUAAUCCACGUAUUUAACUUUUUCUAGUUGUCCCUGUAAGGUAUCUUAUAAUUUUGUCCCCUUAGUACAGCAUCUAAUCUAGAUCACAUGUUAUGUUUACUUAUUAUGUCUGGUUGGCUCUAUUAAUCUGAAGAAGAUUCUCAGCCUUUCUGUUUUAUUGACCUUGACAUUUUUAAGAGACAAGAUAAUACUAAUACUAAUAAUACUACAAAUAAUAAACUCAUAGAAUGUGCUGCACCUUAAGUGUUUCUGGUGUUUCCUCAUGAUGCAAUAUGAGUUCUAUAUAUUUUUUGAAGAAUACCAUAGAUAUGGUGAUGUGCUCUUUUCACUUAAUGAGGCACAUAUUGACUACUUGCUCCAACAUGAGUAACAUGAACUUUGGUCAUGGGGUUAGGCAGUGCCUGCCAAGAAUCUCCACUGUAAUUUAAUUAUGUUUCUAUUUAUAAUGAAGCUGUAAUUUGUGGAUGGGCACUUUGAGACUAUGUAAAUACCCUAUUCCUCAUCAAACUUUAGCCAUUAAAUUUAGCAAACACUAUUGAUUUCUAACUCUAUCAUUUCUUCCAUAUUUUAUUAGCUGGCAUUGAUAGAGAUUUCUUAUCUCCUCUAUUAUUGAUUCAUGUAUGUAUGUGUGUAUGUAUGUGUGUGUGUAUGUAUAUUCACAUAGAUUCAUGGAUUCCUAUUUUAUUCAGUUACAAUUCAUUGUUAUUGUAUUAUUAUUAUUAUUAUGCUCAAGUGGCCCUAAUUUUGGCCGGUGGGAACCUUUAUAAUCUUUUUGACUCAGCUCCAAGAUUUAUUGAGCAUUCUUUUAAUUUAUGGUGAAAAUGUUCCAGACUCAUGUUGGAUUUUCUCUGCCCCAGGCUUGGCAUUAGUAUUUACUUCAAUGAGUCCUGAUUUCUUUACAGUAGAGAAUGGCAUUUAGAAACUAAAGUCUAGGGAAUAAUGUACUCAUUGCUACUGGGGUGUCAUUUCCUCUAGGUCCGCCCAGUAGACAGGGCUAGAAAAUAUACACAUGGACACACACACAUACACACACACCUCUCUAUAUAAACAGAUAUACCUAUGUAUGCCUCUAUUUAUCUGUUUAGUAGUAGACAGUAAUAGUUAUAUGAAUUGAUACUAAUUCCAAUACCACACCACAGGAGCGUGUUAGUCUUUCCCCUUUCCAUACUUGUAACUCCCUUUUCCAAAAGUGAAAAACAACUGGCUCUCAUUAUCCUUUAUAUAUAUUACAUUAAAUAUUGUAUAUAUACUACGCAUUCACAUAUACAUUAUAAAUAUAAUGGUGGCCGGGCACAUGGGUCAUGUUCCCAUCAUCUCAGAGGGGCACUGGAUAGUUGUAGGUUAUGGCCGGGUUGGUGAUGGUGGCUACUUGGCGAAGGGGCUCGGUGGGGGCAGAAUUCUAGCAUGGCCUCUGAUGGUGCAGGACACAUCCAGCACUGGCUCCCUGGUCCAGGUAUUCUUGUGGAAAUCAUGAGUCCCCACCGGUCAUCUUGAUCUGAUGGCAGUGGCAGCCAUCAUCAUCACCACUAAUCCAGAGUUUAUCAACCUCUCUCAAAAAAAAAGCCCAUACUCAUUAGUAGUCACUCCCCAUUAUCCCUCGUCUAGCCCCCGGAAAAAUGAAUCUUCAGGUAAAUAAUAGGUAAAGAAUAUACCAGCCGCACUUCCAAUUACUGCAGAAACAAUGGAAAGAAAGAAAGAAUGGUAUUCAUGUCCUGGAAAAUUCAGAGGCUUCUUGAAGUGCGCAUGAUAGGGGAAAGGGAUCCAGCUGGAUUCAAGUUUCUGCAGCAUCCCAAGCAGCUCCUGUCAAGGAAUCUAAUGAGAGUGAGUUUUCCAAUUGAAAAAAAAAAUAUAAAGACCAGAUGCGAACCUUCCUUCAGGGCAAGUUUCAGAGCUGAAGUAAUUUCAUAGUAGAGGUAGUCACUAUGAAACAGGAAUGAGAAAUCUACUCAUGAGAGAUAAGAGCAGCUGUGAUGGAGCAAAUCUCUGAGUAUUUAAGAAGAUGCAAUGUCUCAACUACUAUUCCUGAGCUGGGGGAUGGGAUGCCUCUAGGGAUUCACAUACGAUGAAUGCCAAGUGCCCAGACGCCCCGAUGGAUUUGGAUUUCCCCACAUGAGGGGAAUGGCUACCCUGCUGCCUGGCCCUUUUCUUAGUGGUUAAGUCUGAAGGAAAAUGGAACAAAAGGAUUGUAAAUAAAUGUUCGGUGGGCACACUGCUUCCCCAAGACUGAUGUUUUCCUCCAGGGGGAGGAAGUUCUGCUAGGAUGAAACUCCUGUGCUUCCUCCGUCCCCAAAUUUAAGCAUCCCAGGGUUGGAGGAAGGCAUCGGUUGGUGAAUUUUGGACCAGGAAACUAGAACGCAUAUUUUGUUGUUCUUUGAGAGCAGGCUUAGCCAUAAAACAAGAAUUUUGCAAUGCUCUUUCAUGCUGAGCGAAGGGAGUAUUUUAGAAAGAAUUUCUGCCUGGUGUAGUGACCCAUACUGCCUCAGUGAAUAUUUGGAGCCCCUUUUCUUAAAAAUAUAAGCCGAAUUCUUCACAGUUCAUCAACAUUAGGUGACUCUUUUCUUCUCAUUUCCCAACCGGUUUAGGACUUUUGUAGACAAGAGUUUAUUACUGGGCCACCCCAACACCUAUUUUCACUCAUUAGUAUCCCGGUGUUGAACCUUCUGAGGUCCAAGUUACUGCGAUAUCUCUAACUUCAGCUCAUUUACUUCUCAUUUUUCAGAAUUAUGCCAAGGAUUCCUAUCAUAUUGUCUUUUUUUUUUUUUUUUUUUUUUUUUUGGGACAGAGAGAGACAGAGCAUGAACGGGGGAGGGGCAGAGAGAGAGGGAGACACAGAAUCGGAAACAGGCUCCAGGCUCUGAGCCAUCAGCCCAGAGCCUGACGCGGGGCUCGAACUCACGGACUGCGAGAUCGUGACCUGGCUGAAGUCGGACGCUCAACCGACUGUGCCACCCAGGCGCCCCUCUAAAACAUUUUUUAUUAAACGUUUCCUGCUUUUAUUUUCCCAUGUCAAAGUAUAAGGGGCAUCUUCGCUGUCCUUAAAAUUUAUCUUGUGUUUUAUUGUGAGAACGAACCAUAACUAGUUUCUUUAAUUUCCUACCGAUGAUCAUUUAGAUCAUUUGUAAAUUAUGGCUUUUUCCUCCAUAGUAAACAAUUCUGCAAUCACUACCCUGGUAUAUAUGUCUUUGCUUUGAUUAAAUUUUUCAAAGCAGGAACAUUAAAUAUAAUGGAGAGGUAGUUGCUAUUGAUUUAAGCUUGUGCUAUACAAAUAAGGAAUAGGCAAUGUAUCAAAUGACAGAGGAAUCAGAGCAGUACAAAUCGUUUUAUCUUUAGACUUGCCCUUACAGGGAUUAGAUCAUAAGACAAUAGUCCAAUCAGAGAACUAAGAGAUAUCUCUGUGAUCAUCAAUCAAGAGAAUACAGGUAAUGAUUAUAAUGAUAACUUGUAUUAAAAGAUUAUGACAUCCCAGUCAGUGAAUUAAACCAUCUUACACAAUUCCUACAAAGUCCUUAUUAGGAAGAUGAUGUUAUUAUGCCCACUUUUUCAAUGAAGCAUUUAAGGUAGAUUAAUUUGACCUAGGUCACAUAGUGAAAUCUAUCUUCAGGGCAAGAAUUCGGUUUGCAUUAUGUAUAAUGGCACUCACAAGCCAAUUAAUUCUAUCAAAAUAGUCUGUGAGAAAGUCCCUUACUCAUAUAUAAGUACAGAAAGGCUGAAAUAUAAGUGAAGUGGGAGAAAAUCUAUAGAAUAACUGAAUCACUACUCAAUCUUUCUUUAAUUAUGCAUAUAUAAAUAUUAUCUAACGAUGGCUAUUUUUUACUAGCUCAGAUAUUAUUUUGGCCACUUAAACAAUUUUGCAAUGAACCAAUAGUGACUGAAGUCAUUUUUAAAAAGCAACGUGCAAAAAAAAUAGUAAGGAUAAAUAAAUAAAAAGCAAAGUGCAUAUAUUGUAAACUUCCACAACAACCACUUGGGUAUUAAGCCAAAACAUUUGAUUCACUGUUGUUGAUUUCCUUCUUUUCUCUUACCUCCCACAACCAUAGCGUCAAGUUUGAUUGAUUUUUCACUUCAAAAGGAUCACUUACAUCUGUCCCUUCUUUUCUGCUAUGAUUAAGAAUGCUGUCUUGAUGACAGAAGAUGAAGAAUGUUCUCCCACUCUGGAGUGGGACCCAUGGAAACCAGAUAAUUUGCACUGAGGUAGAAAUGAGGUAAAGGACGUGUUUCCUAAAUAAGGAACACGAAUAGUUGAAGUUGGUAGAGAGAGAUUUUAGGGAAGAUCAGAAAGAAGCUUCUCUGAGCAACUUCUCAGGUCCCUCCCCCUGGUUCCCAGGCAAAGAGUCAAAAAGUAAUAGGCAUAUGUGUGUAUGAAAUUAACAUGUUUCAAAUUCUCAAUACUUGUUACCAUUAACAUAUUUAUGCGGACUCUUUAUAACAAUACAUCUGAUUCAGGGCCCUUUGAAGAGAAUUUGUCCUGGAAUACAAAUAAAAAGUUGGCUCUCUGUCUCCACAUAUAUCUAUAUAUUUCUAUCUAUCUAUCUAUCUAUCUACGUAUCUAUCAUCUAUCUAUCUACUUAUCUAUCAUCUAGUUAUCUUUUGUUGGGCUUUUUGUUGUUCUAUUUGUUUGAUGCUGCUAUAGUGAUACAUAUGUUUCUACUUUGAGCUGCAAUGUUUUUGGAGCUAAGGAAUAGGGGGUAACAUCACAGAACUGGUAAGAGCAAAGUAAAUGAUCACACUUAUUCUUUGGCUCAUUUCCAUCAUUCAAGCAAGGAAAGCAAGCCCUUUAAAGGAAGAGAAGCAAAAACAUUAUGACUAGAGGAAACUUUCCAUGACUCUCUUCUUAUCGGCCAUGUUUUAUCUGUUGGCUGUUUAUAUUUCUACCCCUUGUGGCAUCAGCAAUCUGCAGCUUGGGGAAAUGAAUGUUUUUAAAAUGCUUUUGAGGCUCCUCAAACUUGAUUUUCCAUGUGGAAAUGUAGACAGAUUUAUCAAGGAAGGACAAAUGAAUACCAGUACCAAAGUAAUAAUAACAGUAACCUCCGAAUUGAUUGUUGGGAAUGACUCCUUAACUUUGGAUUUUCCUGUGGUCGGAGAUGUGAUCUUCUCCAGUGUGUGGACCUUCUCUGACUUGCGGUGGCUACAUCUGGCAUUCCAUUUUGUGUGCCAGCUAAAUUCUCUUCCAGGAGCUUAGGAAUGCUUGUUAGGAGAGUAUGCCUAGGAGUAGCAGAAAAGAAGAGAGACAAAGAAGAUAGAGGGGAAGGUGGAGGAGGAAGAAAAUCUGUGUCUCAAAUAUUCUCAUAACUUUUUUAUUGGGGAAAAAAAUAGUUUCAUUUGAAUUACUUUUCAAAUGAAAAUUUAUCAUUAAAAAACGGACUGUCUCCGGGCGCCUGGGUGGCUCAGUCGGUUAAGCCUCUGAUUUCAGCUCAGGUCAUGAUCUCAUGAUCCAUGAUUUCAAGCCCCAUAUCAGGCUCUGUGCUGACAGCUCGGAGCCUGGAGCCUGCUUCAGAUUCUGUGUGUUCUUCUCUCUCUGCCCCUCCCCCACUCAUGCUUUUUCCCUCCCCCCUUCUUUCUCAAAACUAAAUAAUUUUAAAAAAUGGACUGUCUCAAAUAUGUACAGACAAAGGAAAGGAACGUGAUUUGGUUUUAUUGUUUUUGGCUAAUUUAUCCCGGAAGCAAUUUUUUUUAAUGUUUUUAUUUAGUUUUGAAGGAGAGCGAGAGCAUGAGCAGGGAAGGAGCUGAGAGGGAGACAUAGAAAUUGAAGCAGGCUCCAGGCUCUAAGCUGUCAGCACAAAGCCUGAUGUGGGGCUCGAACUCACGAACUGUGAGAUCAUGACCUGAGCCGAAGUUGGACGCUUAACUGACUGAGCCACCCAGGCUCCCCACCUGGAAGCAAUUUUAAACAUGUGAUGAAUUCCAUUGAUUAUUUAAGAUAUUGUUUUCAUUAGGUAUACGAAAGUACCAUUUAAAUAUCCAGAGUGAGGGGCGCCUGGGUGGCGCAGACGGUUAAGCGUCCGACUUCAGCCAGGUCACGAUCUCGCGGCCCGUGAGUUCGAGCCCCGCGUCGGGCUCUGGGCUGAUGGCUCAGAGCCUGGAGCCUGUUUCCGGUUCUGUGUCUCCCUCUCUCUCUCUGCCCCUCCCCCGUUCAUGCUCUGUCUCUCUCUGUCCCAAAAAUAAAUAAACGUUGAAAAAAAAAAUUUUAUAAAAAAAUAAAAAAUAAAAAAAAAUAAAUAAAUAUCCAGAGUGAGUCUACAGAUCUCUUUUAUUCUGUUUUCCUGUUUUAGUAAGAUGAUACUCGUAAGGGUAUCUAGUACAAAUUUUUUCCUUGAUUUCUCUCCUUCAUUUCCCACAAAGGGUACUCAUUUCCAUUGUCUUUUAUUCUCUUCCUACUGACAUUAAACUUGACUGGAGUUCUGGCAGAAGCAUGCCCAAGGUUAGGAGAUGCUUAGACAAUCCUGCAGCAGCCGCUCUGGGGCAUCCCAGGCAAUCUGUCAUGAGAUAACAAGUCAUUCAACUAGGAACCUAGGGACUUAAUGAGUCUGUCACUAGGAGAGUGUGCUACAAAGUAUAGGGCAUUCCACUUCCACAAAAACCAUAACUUGAUUUAUGGCAAUAAAAUCAAGUACAUGGUAAUCUUUAGAUUGUGUCUCUUCCCUAUAAUGCCUAUUAGGUACCUGUUACCAGCCCAAAUUAGAAUAAAAAGGCUGUAAUUCUGUGUCAUCAUUCUUAGCUGUCUUGUAUAUUAAAAAUGAAGACAGAGCUCAAAAAAAAAAAGCUGUGCCCCCAGGUCUGUUCAUAGUCUUUAAUUGGAGACACUCUUCUGUUUGUGCCCCCCUAAAACCAGGAGGCAUCUUCAGUCUCGGUCAUAUGGCUGAAAGAAUUAAAAAAGAAGAGGCCAACAGAAAUUAAGGAAGAGAAUAAGGUUAUGGGCAAAGCACAGAAGAACACAGAAGGGUAGUUUCUGAUAAUCCCUUAAUUUUGUCUUCAGUUGAAAUGAAGAGAUUUUACUGAAAGAUCUUUUUAACUCAUGUUGUACUCUUAAGAGUUCUGAACCUUUCACCUUCAUUGACUUUGAAAAAGACCCAUUCAUUAAUUUGGGACAUAGUAAGGAGCAGAAUUCUCUAACAAUAUAGGCAUAUGUAUGUACCUAUUGAGUGGCCCAAACCUGGAAUACUGACAAUGCCAAAUGCUGGCAAGGAAAACGAGGAAGUUUAAAUGAGCUCCUUUUAAGCAGAAUAUAUGUGUGUGUGUGUGUGUGCUGAACUUCCUCUUGUUUUCUCCACUGGGCCUUGCUUUACAGACAAGGCAGGCAAAUGUCACCAUGAAUAUAAUGGAAUCAAUCCACUGGACCUAUCUGUCAGGGACAGCUGCUCAUGUCUGAGUUCCAGGCAAGGACCAUACUUAGGAAAGGUCUGUUAUUUUAGAAAACCGCCUAGUGAAACUUGUUUCUGAGGGCAGUGUUUUUGCACUGAAAAAUGAAACUAUAAAUUAAGUUUAGAGUGAGUCAAAGACAUAUGCUUGACCCCAGGCAUAUAUAGUUUGUCAUCUAACACACGUGAACUAUGAAUUUUGGUAUACUUAAAAGCGGUAUAAUUUGAAAUUUUACUUUGUUCCUCAAAUGUUACAGAAUUGGGAGAUUAGUGAUCUUGACCAUGUGGCAACUUGUCAGCUGUGCUUGUAGGGUGGUCAGCAUGUAAAGGUGACAUGGCUGGAAUAAUGCAGGCUAUUAUGAAAGGUGGGCAUUGAUUCAAUGGCCACAUCCUGGUUCUCACCCAUUUCCCCAUAGGUCCUGUGAUUAAGUCAGAGUCCACAACAUCAUGGCCAUUAGCAGAGGAUUCUCUGACUGAUUAUUGCUGCCUUUUCAACUUUAAUAGAUUUUUUUUUUACCAUCAAUACCACAGACAUUAUGGGAUCUGCUUGGGGGUAGGAAUGCCUACGUGUUACUAAAUUGGUGGACGACCCUUACAGAGAUGAGUGAGGAAAGAAAAAAACCUCUGGAGUUUGAAAGUGGUUGACAUUUGACCCAAUUGCCUUCGAAGAAUGGCAAAUUUUCCCUUAGGAGAGAGUUUCACUUUUAUUUAGGAUAUCACCUUUUCGAGUCUGAAAAGGUCGUGCCUUAGGGCACUGUGCAGAGAAGGGAAAAAGAGAAACAGAAAAAGAAACAGCUUGCUCAGCAAAAGCAAGAAAUAAUAGUUUUCAGGCUUUGGCUGGUAGGCCAGAGGACUGCAGGAAUCAGGAAUCCAAAAGAGGAGGCCUGGACGAAGGGUCUGUAAACAGUAAUUUUUAACCUGGCUGCACACUAGAAUUAACAAGGGGAACUUUUAGAAAAUACCCAUUUCUCAUUUCCACUCCCCAAAGAUUCUAAUUCCUUGGUGGGGAGGAGGGGGGGUGCUGAGCAACAACGGUUUCAUAAAGUCUCUCCAGAAAUUCUAAUUCUCAGCCGGGGAAAGAAUCUGUGGGAAGAAGGUGACCACGUCCUGGAAUGGAAUUUAUGGCAGAAGAUAAGACAGUAAGAACCCCAAAGAGUGGCCAGAGCAAAAAAGCUUGGAAAUGAGAGCUGGGGGCACCUGGGUGGCUCAGUCGGUUAAGUGUUCGGCUCUUGAUUUCAGCUCAGGUCAUGAUCUUGCAGUUCGGGAGUUCGAGUCCCACAUGGGGAUCCGUGGUGGCAACAUAAAGCCUGCUUGGGAUUCUCCCUCUCCCUCUUUCUUUGCCUCUCCCUCACUCAUGUUCUGUCUCUCUCAAAAAAACAAAAAACAAAAAACAAACAUUAAAAAAAUGAAAAGAAGAACUGGAUAAUAUUUAAUCUUAAAAUUAUUUGUUCUCCUAGGUGUUCUAUGCUGCCCCUGUGCUAAUACUCUAUCUUUGGUGAAAUGUACAUGCACAAUCUUGUACUGAUGAGGUUUUAGGGAAUGGGAAUGAGAGUCCAGUUCUGGUCAGAACCGGUACCAAAAAAGAGAAGCAACUCUGAGAGCUGAAACAAGAGUUCUGCAGAGAUCAAUCACAGAACAAGAGCUAAUUAGAAGACGGGAUGGUGUAGGAUACACUUCAGAAAUCUCUGGGAUUCGGGGUUUCCCACCAUAUGUGGCAUGGAAUCUUAGGACUCAUUAUUUAGAAAUAUUAUCCCAAACAGAGGGACGAGGUAGAGUUAACCUUUUAAUAGUAUCAAGAGUCAAUUUGAGUUUAAUAAGUGUUUAAUGUGCUCGUUAGAUGUUAGCAACCAUUUUGACUAGUCCUUGUUUGAAGCAUCUUGACUAAUCCUUGUUGGAAUCCAGAUCUCAUCCCUUUUAAUAGGUGUGCGACUUAGAAAUUUACUUAUUUUUUCUUGAGUAACAUGGGGAUAAGUGGUGCAGUUUUGAAGUGUAGGCAUGUCUGCGGGGCAAGCAUGUUUCGGAAAUUAAAAUUUAGGCCAUCACUUUUCCUUUUAGAAAUUUAUCUUGAGGGAAUAAGCAUACAGGUAUGCACAGGUAUUUGGAUGAUAUUUUUUAUGGCAACAAAUAAGAAAUAUUUUAAAUAUUCAACAAUAGGAAAUACGUUAAAUUAAAUGUAGGGCAACCAUAUAAUGAAAUGCUCUGUAUUUAUUAUGAAUGACUACACAUGUUUAUAUUUACUGACAAAAUGUCCGUAUUGUUUUCCAUAUUACAGUUAUGUGAAAAAAGUGUGUGAAAUAGUCCAGUUCUCUGUGUGUGUGUGUGUGUGUGUGUGCACAUGUCUGUAUGUAUGGGCAAGUUCCUAGAACAAUGUCUGGACGGAUACAUACAGACAUGGAAGUCUAAUCAUUUUGUCAGUUUUAUAUCAUCUUUCUUUUUAAAAUGUAAUAGGCUGUUUAAGGCAGCAGAACAACAAUCUUGCAACAAAACCAUUCACACACACUUGUAACACAAAGAUAGACAGUGUGUUUUUUGAGAAGGUGUGAUUGUUGGGGCGCCUGGGUGGCUCAGUCGGUUAAGCAUCCAACUUCGGCUCAAGUCAUGAUCUCACGGUUCAUGAGUUCGAGCCCCACGUCGGGCUCUGUGCUGACCACUCAGAGCCUGAAGCCUGUUUCGGAUUCUGUGUCUCCCUCUCUCUCUGACCCUCCCCGUUCAUGCUCUGUCUCUCUCUGUCUCAAAAAUAAAUAAACGUUUAAAAAAAUUAAAAAAAAAGAAAAUGUUUGCAGUGUCUAAAACUGACAACAGUUAUUGCAUAUAUAUUAUCUUUUGUUUCAUAAAUAAACUAUUAAAAAUCCUAAUUCGGGGUGCCUGGGUGGCUCAGUCGGUUAAGCAUCUGACUUCAGCUCAGGUCAUGAUCUCGCGGUCCGUGAAUUCAAGCCCUGCGUCGGGCUCUGUGCUGACAGCUCAGAGCCUGGAGUCUGUUUCGGAUUCUGUGUCUCCGUCUCUCUCUGGCCCUCCCCCCAUUCAUGCUCUGUCUCUCUCUGUCUCAAAAAUAAAUAAAUGUUAAAAAAAUUUUAAAAAAACUGAGAACAAACUGAGGGUUGAUGGGAGGUGGGAGGGAGUGGAGGGUGGGUGAUGGGUAUUGAGGAGGGCACCUGUUGGGAUGAGCACUGGGUGUUGUAUAGAAACCAAUUAGACAAUAAAUUUCAUGUAAAAAAAACAUAGAAGCAAUAAUGUUGACUUAGCUUAUGGGGUUUAAGGGUGUGCUAACAAACUAUAUUUCACCUAUAAAGUUUAAAUAAGUAGAUACUACUUAAGUAGUUCAAAUAGUGUUUGUUUGCAUUUCUUUUUGUCUGGAAAAAUCAUGUAAGAAUUUUAUUUUCACUGUACUGAAAGAGAGAUGGUAAAAUACCUUCCAAAACAUCCUAACAUUAUCCCAUAAAUAAUAUAUUGUCAUGUUGUAUCCCAAUGAUAGAAUUUUCCAGAGGCAUUAUAAGAGUUGCUGUCAUGAUCACAAUGCUCUCAGGCACUCAAUAAUUCACGAUCGCAGGUGCUGCAUACCCUGUAUGUGAGACCUGUGUGCUCUUUUUGGGACUGAGCUCCACAUGUACUCACUGAAGAACCAGCUUAAUAAGAGCAAACAAAGCCUCUCUGUGCUUGUCACGUGGUUCCCACAUACUCUGCAAAUGCAAGGGGGAGAGAGUUGGGAGACACGGUGUCUCUCUUAACUGCAUGCACGGUUAAGACUGAAGAGGCAUGAAACUCAGAGAAGGGAGCUCGCUGUUCCCCCAUCUUCAAGGGGUUCCCUUCCGAGGCCUGGAUCCCAAACGGAGGCUUUGCAAACACUGGCCACUUUUUUUUCAGAACAGCCUCUCUGGGCAGGAGGCCCACUGCCUGAUUAAUCCUGCAUUCCUCAAAACAGCAGGCAACCAGAAAAACAUUCCCUGUGGAAUUUGAGCUCACCUGCCCUCUGGGGGGUCAGAGAGCAGGUAGACUGAGGGCUGUGUAUGGGAGCAUUUGUCCUAAAGUGGAUGACACCCCGAUGUUGCCUUCUAGAAGUUAUCUUGCUUUGAAGUAAACAGUGAAAGCUGCCUAAGGUAAUUUAAAAGAUACCAGUUAAGGAUCUUCAGGUCUGCCUGCAAAUAAUUAUCACAUGAGAAUCUUUUUAAAAACACAGACUUUUAAAACUGCUGAUUUUCAUGGCCUUUGUAAAGCCUUCUUGAGUCAGAAUCCCCUGGGGUGGGGCCCAGAAAUAAUUACUUUAAUAAAAAAGUUCCACUGAUUCUGAUGUACAGUCAGGUUUGGAAAUCAUUUCUUAAGUCUGAGCUAAAUAAACAAAAAAUCAGUAGAAGAUUAACAAACCAAAGGGCAUAGAGGAAACUAAGAGGGGGCGUGAGGAAGAGAAUAGGAAAAAAAAAAUCACCGCUAAAAAAAUAGUGAUGGGAAAGAGUGAGAAACAUCAACAUUUGACAGAAGGUAGUAUUAAACACGGCAGCAAGCCGAGCCAACAGUGGUUUGCGCCGGUCUAGAAGGACGGACAUGGAGAACGAUGUCUCCUCAUCUGUAAGGACUGCAAUUACCCUUGCAUUCAUCAUUUGUACACUAAAGUCAAUAAAUUGUAAUAAGGCUUUGUCACCCAACAAAUGUCUCCUGCUUGGAAAAUCAGUGCUUCUGCCCUGCGCCCCCACUUAUGCUCCAGCAGGAGAGCUGAAGGUGAUCUUGAAACAAUGCUCUAUUCUCCUGAUAUUAUCAUUUAAUUGUAGCUCCCUCACACCCAACCUUCUGAGUUUUUAAUGAAAUAUUUCCUAAAAAUACAUGCCUUUAAUAGUAACAUGUGAAAUGGAAAAGGAGAAAUGUUUCAAAUCCAGAUGAGUAAACACACCAUCGUAGGUCAUGGGACCCCCCCCCAACCUCCCCACCAUGGGGGCUUGGGGGAAGUCAUCAUGUUGAUUCCUAUUGAACCAAAUCUAGUCAACACUUCAGUCUGAAAAUGGUGAGAAAUGGGAAAAAAAAUGGGUUUUUAAGAUAGAAAACAAAAACCAGAAGUGCUCUCAUGUUAAACAUCAAAAUGAGAAACAAUAUAAAUGAAGCUAAAAUUACUUUUAUAAAGAUGAUCAGGCAAUUCACAUAUAAGAAAUAAAAUGGACUAAUUCAACUUUCGAACAUCCAUUUGUGUUGAAAGUUUUGCUUUCUUUCACAUCAAAACUCUAUCUUUGGCUCUAGUGUUGUCCUUGCAAAGAAAUCUGUAUUCAUUUCUUCCUUAAAAUCAAGACCAUCCACCUUUGAGUUUCAUUCAUGGUCUCUAGGACAAGAUAAUAAUGUAGACUAUCCUCGUUAGUAAAACAGGCAAAAUAAUAAUAUCUCCUAUGUGAGAACUGAGUGAAGUAAUGUGUAAAGCAUUUGGAAAAAUAUCUGGCUUUUUGUAAACACUAUGCAAGUGUUUAUAUAUUAUGAAAGUAAGAUUCUUCUAUGGCUUUUUAAGCUCCAUGAACAAUUUUUCCCUCCAUGUUUCCAUAUUUCUUCCGUUGAUUGCCUUCUAGCAAUGCAUCUUAGGUGGCAUAAUAGCUUAUAUAGUAAUAGUUGGCCCAGUGGUGUGUCCGGGGUUGUUCCAGAGAUCAGCAGUCUCUUAUUCCUAAAGUCCCCUGGUGCAUUUAUGACAAAAAGUAUUAAGUAGAAAUCUCGUCAACCUUCAGAACAUUAAAGAUAACAAUGGAAAGUCAAAGGGGAAAAUGAGUUGAGAGGGACCCAAAGGAAACGUGUCCCUACUGAAAGAAUGGCUCCCCUCAGACAAGGUGGAAAGCAUCACAGAAGGGGGAGAAGGUGAGGGGCUUCUCAUUCACAUCAGCCAAAUCAACCCCAUUGCAGGAGAGGGACAGAUACUGCCACGAAACUGCUCUCUGAGCUGUGGGACUCUUUUUAGGCUUCCUCCAUCCUUUAUAUGUGUUUUUGUCUCCUUUACUGUUCUCUACAGACUUCCCUUAAUAUCACCCGUUUGGUAAUAUUACUUUACUAUCUAUAGCACCUGUAGAUUUCUAUUAAAAAAAUUUUUUUUUUACAUUUAUUUAUUUUUGAGAGACAGAGAGAGACAGAGCACAAGGGGGGGGGGAGGGGCAGAGAGAGAAGGAGACACAGCAUCAGAAGCAGGCUCCAGGCUCUGAGAUGUCAGCACAGGGCCCCACGCGGGGCUUGAACUCAACGAACAGUGAUAUCAUGACCUGAGCCAAAGUGGGGCGCUCAACCGACUGAGCCACCCAGGCAUCCCUGAUUUCUUUUUUUUUUUUUUAAUGUUUAUUUAUUUGAGAGAGAGAGAGCAGGGGAGGGGAAUAGAGAGAGGGAGACACAGGCUCCAAAGCAGGCUCCAGGCUCCAGAGCAGUCAGCACAGAGACCCACUUGGGGCUCAAACUCACGAAUCAUGAGAUCGUGACCCGAGAUGCUUAACCAACAGAGACACCCAGAUUUCCCGAUUUCUCUCUUAAACUGUUGCUAUAUGGUCUGACCCCUGGCCUCUGUCCUGUCAUAAUUAAUUGACCUUACUGUUUUGUGGCACCAGAAACACUGGAUGCAGUAUGUUUAGUGAAACUGUGGUCAGAACAUUGAUAAUUAUGUGCCUCCAAUAUAAUGAACACCACGCCUCCUGAUGACACCAGUUGUUUCCAAGUGAUGUGUGCCUUGAUUUUUAAUGUUUUAUCUUUAAAAAAACUUAAUUAUUGGGGCUCGUGGAUGGCUCAGUCAGUUGAGCGUCCGACUUCGGCUCAGGUCACGAUCUCGCGGUUCGUGGGUUCAAGCCCGCAUGGGGCUCUGUGCGGACAUCUCAAAGCCUGGAGCCUGCUUCAGAUUCUGUGCCUCCCUCUCUGUCCCAACCCACUCGCAUUCUGUCUCUGUCUCUCUCAAAAAUAAAUAAACAUUAAAAUUUUUUUUAAUAAAAAAAUUUAAAAAACUAAGUAUUAUUGCCCCCAAAUAAGCUUAAAAAACAAAAGUUUUUGAAAUAGAAUAUUAAAUAUUAGGAUUGGAAAAAAACCUUAAAGAUUAUCUAGUCCAACUGCCAUUUGAUUUUUAAAAUCUUAUCUAUAAUUUCCACAUAAUACGUGAAUUUAAUUAAUCCAGGGUUUCAAUUCCUCCAAUCAUGGGGGACUUAGAACUUACUGAAACAGUUCGUUCUGACUAUUAAAAGUUACAUUAGAAAUGUCUUUCUAAUUCAGAGCUGGAAUGUCUCCUGGUAUUUCUAAAUUACAAAGACACUGGGUAUGUAUGUACAGGUUGUGCACUAUACAAGGGUGCUGCUUGAUAGGACAUUGUUCUGAUCCAACUGUUGUGGGUUUGUCUCUUUACUAAAGUAAUUUGGCCAAUGUAACAAUAUAAAUUAAGAAAGAAAUGCCAUUUAAAAAUUAUUGCAAGGAUACAAUUUGAGCUAACAGCAGUCCUGCUUUAUCAUUUGUAGUCAAAUUGAUAAAAGCCCAUCCCUCCUCUCAUGGUGACCCUUCGCAUAUUUUAUUUUGAUUAGUAGAGUUCCAAGAGCCUGUGGACUCUGUCUCUGAGAGGGACUCAGGUUUUCCGUGUCUAAAGCUCAAGCUACUCGCCGGCCAAUAUAAAAAUAAAGGUAACAAUUGUCAAAGCAUCUACCUACUUAGGACAACAGUGUAAUAUUUUCUUUUCUCCAUCCUUACUGUGAAGUUGCACUGGGAUUGUAAUAUGUCACAAUAUUUUUGAAGAAUUGGAUUAUCAAUAAUACAUUUUAAAUAUAGUAACCUCUUACGAAAUUUCUAAUAUUAUCCAGGUAAAACAUAAAAGCACUUCUUAGAACAUUCCCAUGUUGUCACCUACAGUAUCAUGGAGGUUUCCGUUGUCUGUUAAGAAGAAAUUCAAAAUAGUGCCUUCUGAAAGAUGCUCUUAUCCAAUGUGUGCAUAUCAGUAACAAUUUAAUGUUUAGAUAAACUUAGAUAAACUCAUAUUGUUAAAAAAAGCUGUUAUGAUAUUAAAAUAGAACCUCUCUAUAUCUUGCUUGUGAAUCUCACCCAUCUGGCUUUAAAGACACAAUGAAUAUAGUUGAUCAAUAAAAUUUUAUCUAACAUUUAUAGCAUAAGGGAAGGAGGAUGGGUUAGAAAGUAUGGUCACUAACAAAUAUUUUACUGCACUGUGCCCACCUGUCUUUGGCUAAACCAUUUCCAAGUCUUAUAUUUUCUCUCUAGUAAUCUGUGUCUGACUUUUUUUUUUUUCUAGAAGAGGGCUUACAACUUGUAAAAUCUUUAUGUGUUUAUUAAACAAGAAAAAAUGAUGCAAUUUUUAUUGCAAGAGUUAACUUAGUUCCACAGCAUUGUGAACAUAGCACAUAACUAAAAGUGCAAGUUCACCUCCUUGCCAGGUCAUCCAUCCAAUUUGCCAGAGCCAGUCACAUUGUUUUGUUGAUCUUUUUUUUUUUUUUACAUUUAUUUAUUUAUUUAUUUAUUUAUUUAUUUUUGAGAGACAGAGAGAGACAGCACAAGCGGGGGAGGGACAGAGAAAGGGGGAGACACAGAAUCCGAAGCAGGCUCCAGGCUCUGAGCUGUCAGCACAGAGCCCGACACGGGCUCGAACUCGCAAACUGGGAGAUCAUGACCUGAACCGAAGUCAGACGCUCAACCGACUGAGCCACCCAGGUGUCCCCGUUUAUCUUUAAGUCAUUUUUUUGUACCUAUGUAAGAUCUAUAUUUAAGACUCACUAACAUUUAAAAAAAUUGAAUUCAUUCAGUCAUUCAACAAAAAUAGAAUCUACUCUUUCUAGGCAGUGUUUAUUCUUAUACUUGGGAAUAGACGGAUACUAAAGCAGAGAAGAAAAUAUCAGAUAGUUAUAUAAGGCCAAUAAAGUAAAUAAAAGAGGGCAGUGUGAUGCUGAUGGAUGGGAUGGUAUUUCCUCAGACUGGUGUGUAGGGAAGGCCUCUCUGACCAGCGGCAUGGGGACAGAGUAUUCCAGGACAAUGAAAUAGCCCAUUCAAAUGAGCUUAGGCAAACACACAUUUAGCAAUGACAAGGAACAAAAUCAAGGCCUCGAGUGGACGCAUCAGAGUGAUGAAAGAGAAAAUGGAAGGAAAAAUAAUGUCAGAGAAGUAGUAUCAACAGGGACUUCUAGGUAGGGUGGGGAUCCUGGAUUCUAUUUUUAAGUGUGAUGUGAAGGCAUUGGAGGGUGUUAAGAAGGGAGAUCACAUGAUCUUAUUUUCACAAUUUUUAUUGAAGUGUAACUGACAUACACUGUCCUAUUAGUUUCAGGUGUACAUCAUAGUGAUUUGAUGUUUUUAUACGCUACGAAAUGAUCCCCCAGUAAGUCGAGUUACCAUCAGUCACCAAAGUUAUUACAAUAUUAUUGAAUAUUGAAUAUUGAAUAUUGAAAUGUAUUCCUUGAGCUGUUAUGUUGCAUCUGCAUGACUUACUGGUUUUAUAACUGGAAGUUUAAAAUGAUCACUCUGGCCACGAUGUGGAGAGUGGAUUGUAGAUGGAAGUAGAAGUCCAUUGGGAUUUACCGUGGUAGCAAAAUGGCGGUGGUGCUUGGACUGUGAACAGCGGAUAGGUAAGAGUACAGGAAGGGAGAUGUGACAUGAGGGGGAGAUGGGCUUCUGGACAGUUGUUCAGAUAGAAUCAGACAGAACUGGUAUAUGUUUUAUGGUAAGAGCACUGGGGUAUGGGUGAGAUGAGGGAAAGAGUAGAAUAUUUUAAGGAUAAAUCUUAGGAUGGUGGCUUGGGCAAAUAAGAAAUGGUGCAUUUUAUUGAGAUCAAAGAUUAGGAAAGAGGCACAUUUAGCCAUGUUAAAUUGAAGCCGCCUCUUAGAAACGCAAGUGAAAAUUCAAGUUUGUGGUUGGAUAUAACAACUGGAGGUUAGGGAAAUUCAGAGAGUAUGGGUUAGAGGCAUAACUUAGUCAACACCAUUAUCUGUACUUAAAACCAAGGGUGUGGCUAAGGAAUCCUACCAUAUAUUUUAGUUUUAUUUCAGUCUCUUAAUUUUUGCUUUAUAUUUUGUAAUUUCUUUCCUCUUCAUCUCUUCUUAUUUGCUGGUUUUGGGGGAAGUUGAAUCAAGAAUUUAUUCUUGACGUUUCUGUCGUUUUGACAUAUUUUCAUCUAUAAAUAAGGCAUAUAUGUGGUAAAAGAAGUGUGUUUCUAGAAGUACAAAUGUACGUAGAGGGAAAGGCAAGCCCCUUUGCCUAACUCUUCCCGCUUGACCCUCACUUCCUCUCAGGAGAAGCAAUACAGUCUCCAGCUGUUUUACACAAAUGGGAGUUGAUUAAAAAUAUUCUAUUAUACCUUGUUUAUUCACUGGAAAGUAGCUGUUGACAAAAUUUCUGCUUGGUGUUCUACUAUAUGGUGUAUCAUGAUUUACUUAACUGCUCUACUGAAGAGCAUUUAGGUUCCUUUUUAUUCUUUUGCUCUUCUCCCUUAUUUCCUGCAUGUUACUCAUUUUUCUGCUUCUUUACUGUCUGUUUACCUCUAGCUACUACUCCAUUUUUGGGUUCCAUUAUAUAGCAAAUUCCUUAGGUGUGUUAAUCACGAUCACUAAAAUCCUUUUCAUUUUCUCUGUCUUAUUACAGGCAACAUCUUCGUUGUUCAUUUCUGGAACGAUGGCAUCGCUACCUUGAAUUCUUUCCUGAUCUCUGCCUCUUCAGUUGCCUUUCGCUUGCUGUGUUCCUUUUCUCCGGUUUGCUUUACGUCAAUGCUGACAACUCCCUUUUAUAAUCCUUCGUGAACUUUCUCUGUGUGUGACCGGCGGCUGUAGAGUUCUGGUCUGCUCUUUGUACAAGUGAAGAUGGCAAGAGGCAGUCCGAACUCUCCAGCUGGGAAUGUCUUCUCAGAACAUUUCCCAAACAGAGAUGUUGUUUCCUGUCCUGGAGACACACAUUCCCGAGUCACUCCUCCAGAGGGAGCCUAUGCCACAGACGCCAGCGUAGCUCUUUUCUAACAUGUCUCACCUGGAUUUCUCAGGGCAACUUAGUGUUUACGUCUGCUCCAAUUUUGCUAGCAGAUGCAAGGUGAUGUCUGCUUUCCCUUUCUAUCCUGCCUCAUUUGCCAUUUACUUCUCCCAUGAGGAGUGUCUCCAAUGGGACAUGGUUGACGUCACUUCUUUCUCACCUUUCCUGAAGCUCGGUGCCAUGGAACCAAAUUCCCACGUUACUCUUCUCCUGGUCAGCCUCACCCCCAGCCCUCAUCAUCCGGAGAAAUGAAUCACAGGUCCCUCGGGAUCAUAUCAUUAUUUUUCAGAGCAAUACAGCUCUCUGCUUGAGAAGUAGCGAUAUGUUUUACACUGUUGGAGGCUUUCUUGAAUCAAGACAGAUUUGGGCAGAUAAUAUUCUUACCUUAGCUUUUUCCUACUUUGUUAUUAAAGGGAUUUUCAAAGUUACUUUUGUUUCUUAUGUCAAUAUAAGUUAUUUUCACAGAAGAGAGAAAACAAAAGCUUAUAUUUUUCUUCAGACUUCUGCUGGUGGUCCAGUAACCCACUAAUUAUUCACGGUAUUCUUUCUCAGCAGAUUAGCUCAUCUGCUAUGCAGAGGAAACUGAUUUUAAUUUCCCUCUCUCCUACCUACGUUAAGUAUCAGCGCUUGUUUCUUCCUCUACAGAAUCUGUGCUAACGUUUUGUAUGUAUCACUUUAUUUUGUCGUUACCCAUUGUGGAGCUGAGCUUAUUCUAACUGAGGCACAGAUCAGGGAACGGAGGCUCCAAUAAAUGAAGUAUCCAGAAGUUACACCAACAGUUAGUGGUGGAACAGUAAAUUGAGCCCAGAUUUGAUUCCUCACCAUUAUGCUCCAAGAACCAUAAAGACCAUAUAAAUAAAAUUAUUAGAUCUGGGGGCACCUGGGUGCCUCAGUCCAUUAAGCACCCAACUCUUGACUUCUGCUCAGGUCAUGAUCUCACGGUUUAUGAGUUUGAGUCCUGAACUGGGCUCUGUGCUGACAGUGCAGAGCCUGCAUGGGAUCCUCUGUCUCUCCUCUCUCUCUCCCUGCCCCACUCUCCCUCCCUUUCUCAAAUAAACUAAAAAAAUUAUUAGAUUUCCCUGACGUUUUAAAAUUCAAUUGAUUAUUGUACAGACCACUUACUGGGACCUAUCAUUGGAAGGUAUUUCAAACUUAUACACUAAAUAUGCAUGGUUUCUAUCAUGCGAUCAUACCUCUAUAAAGCGGCUUAAAAAUUAUGCCAUGGUUGGGGGUGGGAAACAGAGAUUACCAUGUCAUGUAUGGAGCAAUAUCUGAAUUGUGAAAAUCAGCACGGCAUCAUGGACAUAAUAAGAAUUUGGGAUUAGAUACAUAGGAGCUUGAAUUCCACAUUUGCCAUAAUUAGUUGUUUGGGAAAAAUGCUUUGCUUCUCUGAGCUCUUUGUAAAUUCUGAUUGUAAAGGUAAAAUUUAAAAACUUACAAGAUCAAUAAGAGAAUUAAGUUGUGUAAGGUGAGGAAAGUAUGUGCACAAAGUAGACAUUCACCUAAUUUCCAUUUCUUUCCUAAAUACUCAUAUUGCAUCUUUUGCCAUCCAAGCUAAUGGUUUUUUUUGGUUGUUGUUGUUUUAAUCUCUGACACCCAAUAAGCUGAUAUAACACUUGGGAUUUUACUGCCAUUAAAUAUAAUAGGGGAUUUUAAAAGACUAAGAAAAUAUGAUACAAGAAACGUUUUAGUCUCCAGGAAGUGCACCGAGGACUGUGCAUUGUGCAAAGAGCUUCUGAAAACCUUCUGAUAAAAUUGUAACAAUAAAGCAACUCUGUAGGCACACGUUCAAAUACUAAUAUAUUCCACAUAAAUAUAUAUUAAUUUAGCUAAUAAUGCAACCAAAAUGUCCAAUAAGAGAUUUCUGAAAGCAGAAGAGAAAAAGAAGAUAGCAUUAGGAAUACUUUUUCAAGAAAAUAGGAAAUUUGCUUAGAGCAUUUCAAAGGGCAAAUCUGAGAACCCUUAUCAAGGAAAGCUACUUCACUGCUUGAGGAUUUGUUAUAAGCCCAGUCAAGGAGAAAUGAAAGGAAAUGUUAAUACAUAUGGUCUUGAAAGAAAAUCUGUGAGAUAAAGCACAUUUCAAUUUUUCAUUCAGUAUUUAACUGAAAGCUAUGUCAUAUUCAUAACCUUAACAUGAUGGAAAUAAAAGAGUGUCUCAGCUAGCCUGGAAUUCUGCCAUUUAUGGUUUUGCAUUUUUAUGUAGCAGAGAGUGACAGCAUUUAGUCUGCCGGGGGGGGGGUCCCAAUUCUCUUAGCGCCAAUCCCUCAUGGACAUUGGAGGAAAUGCUCCACUGGAUAUACCAGUCAGCUCACACUACUUCUGUACUCGCAAGUCCCCGGUGCACAGGAUAGCAGAUAGAAGUUGCCUUAACACAAAGAAAGCCCACUGAAGACAUUCUUCAUUAAGGGAAAAUUCGUUUUAGCAUUUCCAUGGUUCAUGUUAAACAUCCCCCAAUCCACAAACAUGUCUCUUGCUGGAGACCUUCUGUGGGUCUCACGACAUUUGCUACUAGAUUCUGUCUUGGCAUCUCAGAUCCUUUCAAUUACAGCUUCUGAAGGACCUUGAGUAAUGCUUUAAUGUGAUGAGGUAUAGGUUAUGUCAAUGUGAUAAAAAUCAGAAGCCCACACGGUGUCCUCUUUCUCCCUCUCCCUGGCAGAGAACGUGAAAGCCAAGGUAGUAUAUUCCUUCCCGGAAAAAUAAUAUGCUGCACAGACUAAGGUAACUGCUCAGAUUUCUAAAAUAGCACCCCUAUACUCAUGAUGAAUGAAUUAGCUUGGGUUUUCCAUAUUUUAGUUUAUUGUAACUUGAAUAAGUUUUAUUUUGACCUGUCACUAUAAAACAGUGAGCAAGCACAUGAUGGGGAAUUUACCUAAUACAACUGCAGUCUCCCGAUGACAUUGGGAAAUAUAUAGCCAUUGAAAUGCCAAAAGUAUUUGUAAUUGCCUAUUAGACCACUGUGUUCUUGCUUAUAGAGUGGCUCACUGUGGGGGUGGGGCUCUCUCUGGUGCUUGAAAUUUGGGAGGAUAGUCCAUUCUACCACCUCCCAUCAGAACCCAGGCAUCUGAAUUCCACUUGCUGGAUAUUGUCUGGAUUAGAUGCUGUACUGUCAACAUUUGUAUGUUCAAUGUCAAUUACAGCAUUGACAUGGCAUUGAGAUUCUGUUGCGGCCCCGACUAGCUGGUGCCCCUAUUGGCUGACACUUUGAAUAUAUAGUGUAGUGACUUCUGCAUUAAUUGUAUGCUUUGGGCAAGUUAUUUCAACUUUCUGUGCCUCAGUAACCCCUUUUUUCAUACUGUUUUAACAUAUUGUUUUACAUUGCUUUUCACAGGGCUGGUCACAUACUAAGAAAGCUUAUACACAUAGGUAUUUUAAUUAUAUAUACCAUCUAUAAUGUUUAUAAAAAAUUGAUAGCUUUCAAUACACACACACACACACACACUAUGAAAUUCAGUUAAGAAAGUUAUUUAAGAACGCAUAAACAUGUGGCCAAAACCAAUUUUUUAAAUACAGCACCAUAGUUAUUUUUACAGUCUUACAAAUAUGUGCCCUUUAGGUUAGUGUUCAAAAGGCCACAUUGAUCCUGUGCCUUCUAACCACGUGAGGGAAAAGUGACACUAAAUCACAUGGUGUGAUGUCUGGGGAUCUGGGUGGCUCUUGUGCUCAAGGCAUGUUAAUGUAUUUAAUGUUACAAACAGCGUCCUGCACAGUAUAGCAGUGUGGAAGACAUUCGCGAAGGAACCCCAGACCCUGUGAUGUGGAUGAGGUGGUCUCUUCCUACCAGAAAAUAGACCUGUCAGAGACUUCCUCUAUCAUUCCACCACUAGCUCUAAAUGUAUUACCAUUGUCACUGUGUCCUCUAAAAUUAAGAAAAAAAAAAUGGAACAAUGAUUUACUUGCAAGAAAGACAUUAACUUUCUGUAAAUCCCUUAUGUGUUCUGUAGUCACAGAACCCAAUUUAAUAAAGUCCAACACAAUAACAGAGAAAAUUAGAAUUCGAAGAGUAAUUCUAUAGUUUGGUGCCUACUGCAUGCCCACAUAGAAGAUUCAUUCUGAAUAAUACAUGUUGAAAGUUAAUUUAUAAAUAUAUAAUGAAUAACCAUUCCAUUCAGAAUAGGUACCUGUUGUUCAAGUAGUAAAUUUUUGACACUUUCACUUUGUUUCUGAAAAACCAAUAGGAAGAAAGAGAAUCCAUAUAACCUGGUGAAGGUUCUGGGUCAAAUUCUGAGUUCUGGGUCUCACCCUUGAUAGUUGGGCAGGAAUUGGGAAGAAGGCCUAUCUAUGUUGGCAAACAGGACAACAGGUGACUAGAUUUCCAUAGGGGUCACAAAUGAAUACGGCAUUGUGUUGCUAUGUGCAAACAAGGGUGGUCAUGUAUGAGGGAAGACAGUUUGGAUAAAAAUAAGACAGAGAAAACUGAACUGGGAAGUUUGAAGAUUCAAAGGUCACUUGGCCACUUAGAAGUAGGGCCAGGGGUUUGAGAAUGAGCACUCAAAAGAAAACCAUAAUCGGGAAAUUGUAUAUUUUCCUUCAUGUCUCAUACAAUCCACUUAAAAUUCAAUGAAAAUGUAGCAAAGAGCAGCCAUGGACUUUACUACUGGUUCAGAAAGAACUGUCUCUUCCUUCACUCUUCAGCACUGUUUGAAGACGACAAAAUAACAUUGAAACCCUCUUUCUAUUUUCAUACCCAAUCACAAACCCUACAUCACCCCUUUCUUCUCCCCACAUCAAUUAGCUUAUAUUUUUUACUAUCUGCAGUCGUCCCCAGUUUCCUAUUUACAAUGUACAUUUUCGUAUUAUUCAUUUUGCACUUUAUUAGCUAAAAUGAGCCUAGGUGGGGCUUCGAUCUUGCCCUAAGAGUUCUGUGGUUAGGACCAUCUUAUCCCUUUUCUUUCUUUGGCAUUCCUCAGCCCAGUGCUUUCAGCUCCAGCUGUUUCUUAUCAUAUCCCUGAAGCCAAUUUGCUGGCAUUGUCUGAGCUGUAAAACAAUCCUCCAGAUGCUUGUGAAAAUGUACUUAUUGCUUGCUUUGCUCACCCACAGCAAUGUUCAUAAUUCUAUGUAAGUUGCAGUCAGAAUUUCAGUCUCGGUUGUUUUCAAACCAUGUGUCACCAUUUCAAGAACUGCCUCACAUGCUGCUUUUGAGACGCUUUUGUUCUUAAUUUUGUUAGAAUUGAGUUUUGCUUUCAAGAAUUUCUGGUAUGCUGCUUCAUUUCCCUCUUAGUUCACAUAAGCUGCCAUUGGUUGCAGAGGGCGUUAUAAUUAUAUUAAGUAUUCAGUGUUCGUGGGUAAUGAAUACUACCGGUGUAUGUGGCAGCUUCAGCAGUUGUGGACUCUUUUCUACCUUCUGUUCCACAGGGUGGGACUCUCGGACCAGUUCAGGCUAAGGGAUUUCCAUUAGUCAUCCCAAUACUUCAUUCCUCAUCUAUCCCUUUUCAUGGGUGGCUAAAUAAUUCUCUUUUCAGCCAUGGUUUAAACAGGCUUAAAUGGGGUUUACCACAUCACAUUUAAGCUCUAUCUUGUCUAAACCACGAUAUCAUCAGACUUUGAUAAAGACUUAAAACAUUGAUUAUUUCUAGGGCACCUGGGUGGUUCAGUCAGUUAAGUGUCUGAUUGAUUUCAGCUCAGGUCAUGAUCUCACAUUUCGUGAGCUCAAACCCCGUGUCCAGGCUCUGUGCUCACUGCUCGGAGCCUGCUUGAGAUUCUCUCUCUCUCCCUCUGCCGCUCUCUUCUGCUCAUGCUGGUUCUCUCUCUCUAAAAUAAUAGAAAGUUAAAAUAGAAAAAAAAAAAACAUUGAUUAUGUCUGCUGAUCUUUCUGAUUAGAAAGCCUGUCCCAAAAUUGAGAAGUCAACAUAAGAAAAAGACAGUCUCUCCGAGCUUCCUCCCACCCAUCCUUCCUGAUACUGGGAUUAUAUUUUAUAUAAAUCUUAGGGUUGCCGUAUUAUAACAGUAAGUACUCAUCCUAUGAGGACCCAGAGGUUUGAAUACACCAAGAGAGGGAGGUCAAUUCUGAUAUCAAGUUAUCCCAGAAAAUCAGGAAACCAAUGGAGAAACGUAAGCUAAGAGACUAUUACUUUCAUGCCCUGGACUUGAACAUGGUGAAGGCUAACUGGGGGUCCUAUCUAGUGGAAGCCAGAGCUUGGCAGGAGGAAGCCAUGGGGUAAACGAUAGACUGGAAAUAGAACAAAGUACACAAUGCAAAGCAGAUAUUCUAGCAGAUAUUUUGCCUUGGCUAUUCUUCAUCUUUCAGCAAAUUCUUCAAAUGACCCCUUUACCCCAACAAAAUGCUUUGAUUUUAAGCCUCAUGUAUGCCUAAGCUUGGACUGACAUGUUUAAAUAAAAGAACAAGCCCAAGAGGUCCAUGAGACAGAGUUUGUAGGAACCAGUGAGCAUUCACCAGGAGACAGUGAAUGUUCAGAGAGAAAUUGGGGUUGUGUGGCCUAGCUGUCACUCUCUAAAUGGCAAUUCCACUUCUAAUGUGCAUUCUAAAAGUUCUGGGACUCAUUUUUACUAAGAAAAGAACUGUAACUUGUAGAAAGACAAAAAUGUUUUUUUAAUGAAAAGGAGAACAGGUUAGAGAGAGAGAGAGAGAGAAAAUGGGUUGCAGCAGGAUGAAUAUGCAGCAGCCAUAUGAAUUUCCAGGAUAUUCUUAGAAGACCAAGCCCUUGUUGCCUUUAACAUGCAUUCCCCAGCACCAAGAAAAUGCUCAUGAAUGUCUGAUGACCUGCUUCUGAAAAUUUUUUACUGUCUCUUUGGCUGACCCUUGCUCUUCCAUUUGCUUUGCAGUACCUUUCUUCGAAUAGAACCUUCCUCUGGAAACCAGCACCUGAUGGGAGAACAGUGGAGUCUGACCCUAACAGUCAAUUCUCCAAGAUGUAAGGACGUAUUUCUAGUUUGUGGCUUUGCCUCCAAUGAUCCGGUCAGUUAGAGGCAACCCUCCUGGGAAGUAUCUUUCCAAUGAGGACUGCUAUAAACAUUCCUAGAGCACUCUGCUUGCCAGAAUAUUUAGGCAAAUCUGAAAAAAUAAAGAUCAAUAAAUAAAAAAAUCAAAACAAGCUUGUUGUUUGGUGACAUACACAAAUAUGUUUUUUUCACAUCUUUGGUAUAG